Molecule: long non-coding RNA, 88458 nt
Filed under: Triticum aestivum (bread wheat)
Lineage: Eukaryota; Viridiplantae; Streptophyta; Magnoliopsida; Poales; Poaceae
Description: long non-coding RNA (TAES_LNC001953)
Rfam family: MIR1120/MIR1122 microRNA precursor family (bases 57169-57255)
Source: RNAcentral
CCUGCUCUUUUAACUGAAAACUGGGAGCACUAGCAGUUUUUCACAAGGUAAUCACCUCCUAUGAAUGUUUGGUGGUGCUGCUCCAAUUUCUAUUGCAUUGCUUAUGAUGUAUGAAUGGAUUAUUUUCCUCAUUUGCUAAUUAACGCAACUGGCGUAAUUCUUCAUGAGAAUAGAUAUUUUUGUAGUGCACAGUAUGAUUUUUUUAGUUACCCUCCUUAUGAAUAGAUUUUUUGUAGUGUGCAGUACAAUAUUUUUGACAGGGUUGCAUGUUGCUUGCUACUGCUACUGCUUGUACAAUUGUGUUGUUUUGUAAUAUUCCUUAACUGUUAAGAGAUAUGGCCACACUGAGAUUUUGCUAUGGGCAGGAAAGUGGAUUGGACAAUGCCGCUAGCUUGGAUGGUGCCCCAUAUGGAUGUCGAUCGUGGGCGACGUGAGGAGGGACAAGGCAGAGAAAGGGGGUCAGGUUGGCGCCGCAUUAGAGGUGAGCGAGGGGGCCGGGGUUGCAUCGCCGCCGAGAUGCGUGAGGGGAUCGGAGCUGCGCCAAGCGGAUUCAUCAGAGCACUUCGCUCCUGCUGCCUUUGGCCUGAUGCUUAGAUGGAUUGGUGCGUAAGUUUGAAUCCUUUCAUUUUUCACUUCUCUAAUGGGUGGCUGAUGGCCUGAUGCUUUGAUAGAUCGAUGUAUGCUAGAACUGGCUGAUAUGUGCGUGUGUGUGCACAUUUUUUUCUUUUGAUUUUUGUAGAGAUUGGCUCAUGCUUCUCUGCUUAUGGAUUUCUUCUGUCUGUGUUCCUCACUGUUGCUGAAUGAUCUGGUGAUUUUUAUUCUUUGUGGGCUUAUCUGAUGAAAUUUACUGCUACUUAGAUCGUGCACUGACGCUACCACCAGAAGAUAGAUCAUAGAUGCAUGUGUUUGCUUUCGAACAUGGUGCGUAAUCUUGUGGUUUGCCAACUGUCACCUCCGGCAAUUUCAGUUCAACAUGUCUUGGUUUCUGCAUUCUGAGUUCAGAGUUCUACAUAGUAGAAUGGUUAGUAUAUGGGAGUUUGCAUCUACAGUUGCAUACUGUAGUUCCAUUCCAUCCUUCCUUAUUCAGAGAUGAACUAAACCUCUCAUUUUNNNNNNNNNNNNNNNNNNNNNNNNNNNNNNNNNNNNNNNNNNNNNNNNNNNNNNNNNNNNNNNNNNNNNNNNNNNNNNNNNNNNNNNNNNNNNNNNNNNNNNNNNNNNNNNNNNNNNNNNNNNNNNNNNNNNNNNNNNNNNNNNNNNNNNNNNNNNNNNNNNNNNNNNNNNNNNNNNNNNNNNNNNNNNNNNNNNNNNNNNNNNNNNNNGUACCACUUCCUCUUAAGAUUUCAGAAAUGACAUGUCAUGGACAGGGUAUAGAGCUCCGAAGAGUAUUCUCCUUCCGUCAUCGGUUGCUAAAUCAGUAACGCCCAGCAUUGUGUGCGAUGGAGCCCUUACCGCAGUUCACAACUGAACUCUUUAUUUUAUUUUAAUCCUUCAGAUUUGUCGGGUCAGGGAUCCUUCAGUUUUGUUGGAUCCGAAGUAAGAGCACCGGGACUUCAAGGACGAUGUAGAUUGUCGAAGGCUAAGUUGCAGAGUGCAUGGGCAGCAGUACCAGAGCAAGAACCUCGCGCGUGACGGAGCUGUUGUGGUAGAGAAGCAAAACUCAACGACUAACUCUACAAGCUCUGGUCACUCUCUUAAAAAUCACUAACGUAAUCAUAUCUCACUCCAUUAUGCAAAUCUUAUUUCUGGUUUUUUGAUUCCAUUUCAGUACUUAUACCUUUUUACAAUGCGUUUAGUGCAUAUGAAUGAAGUAUAUUGAUUUAUCCUCUACCUAUGGUUUGCUGUGCUUUAUUGGUGCUCAACGUUUUUGACAUGUUGGCAUGCAUAUUACUAAAUUUGGUCAAGCAACCCGCCAACAGACACAAAGAAGGUGAGUUUAUAAUGUGUAAUACCCGUUUACUUUUUCUUUUUAUCCUGCAAUGUGUAAUACUUAAAUGGAAUUCAGUUAUUGAUGUUUGUUUUAUGCGGUUGAAAAAAGAAUCUCAAAUUUGGUGACCCUAUGUUGCUGGUUUGAUUAUGACUAGGACAUAUGCCCGUGCGUUGAAACGGGAAAAAAUGAUGUUUUGUGCAAGCAUAAUGUCUCACAGCACCGGAUUCAUUAUGAAGAACAUGCUGCAAGAAGCAUCCUUCUACAAAAUGAACAUAAAAAAGAUACGUUGCAAUUUAGCCGUGUUCAUAUUUUCUUUGUCGGGCAUAAUCUCCCACUGAUUCCAUUUAUGUAGAAUCCUUUUUUGAAUGGCAUUUAAGUAUAAUCUUUUCAUGAAUUACCAUGACGUUCUCACUCGUUUUAGUCGGGAAUCAAAUCCUUCCUUUUCUAAUUUAGUAGCCCCAGCACAUUAAAGCCUACAAAUCCUUCGUGGCCCAGAUCAAAGAGUUAGACAGGAGGUCAUGUGUUUAAACCGAACGAAAGCUCAUAAAAGACCCAUCAACAUACAAAUACCUGGCCCAGAUCACUUAGCGUGUAUAAACUAAAUGAAAAGGACUAAACCAAACCAAGAAUACCUAUUCCCUUUAAUAGUAGGUAUAGAUAAAUGCUUGUUGAAAUGAGCCAACUGAUUUUUUUUUCUGCUGUAUGUCACCCUUGCGUGAUGAAAGUUAUAUUGUCUAAGCGACGACUUAAUUGAUUAUAGUUCUCUUUAUCCCUGAAAGGUGUUAUGCAACAAUACAAAAUUGCUUUUGUUUGCAGGGUUAUAUGUCUUCUGAUCAUCUCGAUGGCAUAUAUGAGGACCUGCAAUACUAAACCUGGAAAUUAGUCGUUGAGGCAGUGGUCAUGGUAGUGAUAUCUACUGCCAGAACAUAAACGUUUGGCCCUCCUUUUUGCCACGAAGGAUUAUGAUCAACUGGACUUGCAGAACCAGUUAAUGGCAUGAUGCUGGCAGUAGUAAUGGAGGGCUGUGAUUUCUGGAUGGUAAAUUCUGAAUUGGAAAUGAUAUUUUCUAAUGUAUUCAUACAGUUAGAUAAUAUCAUAUUAGAUUUUCUUCUCUUACCUGGAACGUCUGCCAUGUAAAGCAUGCUUCCCUUUGAUUUGCUGUUGUGCUAGGAAUAGGAUGGAUUGGCGUCCUCUUCUCACGAAACACACUAACAUAAAGUUUCUGGUUUCUGACGUACAAGGAUUAUUUACUAUGAACAAAUAUUGCAAUGUUCAUUGGUAGUACUGUUUGUUGAGGCGAUGCCUCUGCCAUGGGUAUGAAAUUAUCGUUGGGCCUUCAACUAUUUUUAUUUGAUGUAUAUGCUUCCAAACACUACUUGUUCCAGUACUACAUACUGGACAAAAACAAUUUCCUUAUAUGCUAGAACACGGCAUGGCUAAUUAGUAAUUGCACUACAUUCCUAAUAACUUCUAAAAUUUUGGGAGGCAUGGCAAUGUUCUUCAACCAUAAGUAAGUUCAUAUAUAAUUAUACACUUCAAAAAGAAUGUCAUGUGACAUAACUCACCUUGGUAACUAUGCUACAAAGUGUCCGAACCUGCAUUUUAUAUCAGGAUGAUAAAAUUUCACCAAUCUAUCAUCGUUCACACAAAAUUGAACUUGGGAGUGUUAAAAAUCGUUCACACAAAAUUGAACUUGGGAGUGUUAAAAACCGUCGUCACUAAUUUAGCUAACCGCUCACCAGUAGGUAAUCUAGCUAAUCACUCACCAAGUAAGUAAAUCUUUAAUCUGAAGUUGUAUAUUGACUGUAGGACAAUAACACAGUUUUCAACAGCUGCAAAAUACUGAAAUGCUGCUAAUUUAAGAAUUGAAGAGAUUGCCUUUUCAUUUUGUAAAAUCUUCCUGUUCCAUUGUUCCACCUGAAGUGACCAAGCAUGAUCUUUAAUUUGCCAUGUAUGAUGCAGCGGAGCCAUUUUAUUAAGCUGGCAUUAGCACAAAAAUACAAUAACCGUUGGGAGGGCUCCUUUGUAUCCCUAGACCCACACCCACACCCGACCGCCAUCUCCCACUGUCGGCGUUCUGGAAACGGGGGUCCCCAGACUUGCCUGCCUGCGGCCUGCGGCGUGGCUCAAAGGGGGGCCCAGCACGGCCCAUCUUCAUCAACACAGACCCAAGACCCUCGCGAGGGGCCAAGCCUCGCGGGGCGGAUGACACGGAGCUUCCUCAGGCACGGCCUCAUCAGGCUGGCUCGCGAGGAGGCGGAGAGAUCAAGGCGGGAUACCUCACGAGGUGCCCGUGACGCAAGCCAUGACGACCAAAGGCGCCAGGCGGGCGCCAGCCCGCGCAGUGUCCUCCUUUCCUCUUUGGUGCAAAGGGAGCAAGCGCAGCCGCGGAGUACCGAGGCAUCAGGUAAAGGUUGUCAUUUCGGUGCAACAAGACCAAGACCAGGAGGACUGCAAGACGGAGGUCAUUGUGGAGCCCAAGACGGCGUCACCACCAGAGCUUUGUGCAAGUGAAGACUACUUUUGUCAGGAUAGCUGGUACUAGCUGUCCCCCUUCAAAUUAGCCCGCCAUUGUUGGCUCCCUUCCCGCUCGAUAUUUGGGAAGAGGACCAGGGCCUCUAUAAAUAGGACUAGCCACCAUAGUAGGAAGGGGAGAUCGAAAUCCGAGAGGCAGAGGCUAAGGACGAAGAAGAGAAGAUCGAGAUCCGAGAGAGAGAGAGAGAAGGGUGACUGAACUCCUCCUAGCAGUUCGUCCCCCUCCCCCCCCCAGCCAAGAACAGACCCUCGCGAGGCUAUUCUUCCUUGUAUUGUUCAUCAUCAUCAACCCAAGAGGCAAUCCACCACACCACACUGGAGUAGGGUAUUACACCACAAUGGUGGCCCGAACCAGUAUAAACCCUGUGUCUCUUGUGUUGUUCGUCCCAUAGCUUAGAUCUUAGCGAGGCGGAGGGGUGCAGGUAGGUAGGAGGCGAAAUCUCUGCGCGCACCCCAGUGUUCGAACCUCAAGGGUCUGCCGGAACCCGAAAUCCGACAUUUGGCGCGCCCGGUAGGGGUGCGCCGGAAUCCACCUUCUACCGCUUCGCGCCCCGUCGCGUCGUCAUCGCCAUGUCCGGCGACCAGGCGGGCAACCCGGAUCCAUGGGCGGCGUGGCCCGCCCGCGCAGAGCCGCUCGCCUCGGGCGACCCCGUGCCCCAGGCAGCUCGCGGUCCGUAGGGCGCUGCGGGCCACGAGCGACGCGGACAGGCUUCGACAGCUCUCACACCGCGGCAGGCGCGGUCGGCAGCAAGGGCCUCCAAUCACGCCGCGACCACGACACCGUACACCCGCCGGGAGCAGGCGAACUCGAGGGCCGCGCUCACGGUGGCCCGAGAGCUACUGUAGUGCAGGCUGCUAGAGGGCGGCCGCGACGUGCUGCUGGAGCGGGUGGCAGAGCUCCUGGGCUUCGCCGCCUCGGGGGCUCACCCCUUCUGCACCCAGCUCCCAUCUCAAGCCCAGGGCGGCCCGCGCGGGGGCUCCGCGCGCGCCCGCUGGCUCCAAGGCUACUCCAACGCCAGCGAAGCUGUCAGUACCGGACCGACGGCGGCGCUGCCCCCGCUCCCGGUCCGCGAAGAAGGAGGGCGCGACGCGACCCACGGCCCCAGUGGACAGCCGCGCUACCACCCCAUGGUGGGCGCGUCAAGCAGAGCUGCGUGGCUCGCGGAGCACCACGGCACGGCCUUCGGGAUGACGGCACCAGAAGAAUACGUGCCCCUCAUGAUGGACCAAGGACACCCUCACGAGGGCGAACAAGGCUCGCCCCUCAGCCCAAGCUGGGGGGACGAGGCGCCAGAAGCUAAGCCCUUCCAGGAGUCCCGGGACGGUCCCACUGGGCACGCUGGAGGCAACGAUUAUCGGGUACCGCUAAUUCUUCAGGAGCAGGCAUACGCUAACCAUGGAUCGCAGGAGGUGCAGGUCGCCACAGCGAGCAUCUGCCCCGCUCCCACAGUCUCCUACCCCUCGGGAGGAGGGCGCAGGGGGCUGCAGGAGAGGGGCCGAGAUCGAUAUCACCACCGCGGCGUUCGGAGCAAGGUGUUCUCAGGAGGUAGGCCCUCCGCUGGGGAGGUGCCUCAGGGCCUGCCCCUGGCGGAGGACCCGUGGUCGUCGGGGGAACCGCUGGCGACCGCUCUACCCCAUCGGCGGCGUCCUGGUUUCAGGUUGUCAUUGAUGGCACUAGAGUGUGGCGCAAGGCGGGGCCCUCGUCGCGAUAUGAAGCAAGGCCGGUACCUGUGAAGAAGGCCCAGUGCCUGUGAAGCUCGCCGCCCCGUGACACUCUCACGUAAUAAUGAGUGGGGUUGUACAUGCCCCGGAGUCUCGGGGGUGCCGGCCUCAGGCCCUGGGGCUCCCUCCCACGCCCAGUGGCAGCACUUAGCUCCGCGCUGGUGAGAAGACGUCCAAGACUAGAUUAGGUGCCGGACGCGGCCUUUUGUCUGCUUUCAUUGCUUUUCCCUUUGGUUGUUGCUUUCCCCCCUGGAUUCAAGUUGGAUUCGAAUUUGAGAUUUGCAUGUGUUCGGGGAAGGGGUGCUUAGUCUCGUUCGAGCAAUUUCUCACGUUUUGGUUACCACUUCACCUCAGCUGCCUCCCCUCGUGAGCCCCUCGCGAGCCGGGUCAGGCCUAGCUUGCGCGCAGCCCAGACUGCCGCCGCCGCGUCCUCUCAUGAGGGUGUUUUACUGCAGAUCCUACGGACUCAAUCAGGGAACACUCAGGACACCGCAGCCUCCCACGGGCUACCUCAGGGCCAGCACGGGACAAAGGUAAACUAGCCGACCAGCGCGUCGCUUAAGCCAACCACUUGGCGCGGGCGCAUGGGCAAUGUAGCGUCUACUAAUACGAUGAACACAAGUCUUACAUAAAGGGCUCCCCCUCCAAAAUGCUCUCACCACCAUCAGGCCAAAAACUGAGUUCUAUUCAUGCAGGGUAAGGAAGUAAGAACGAUGCACAAUCAGUCAGAUAAACCCCCCAAUGCGUCCUCUGGAGCACCACCCGAGCCGUUGCUGGCAUCGCUGAACUCGCCAUCGCUGUCCGCGUCGCCGCCAGCAGCAUCAGGGCCGUUCACCACACCGCCCUCGUCGGCAGCCACGAUCACGCCGUCGUUGUCUGAAGUGAAGGCCCUGAUAAGAGCAUCCACAUUGUCUUCCACCCAGUGCGCCAGAUCGUCUCGGAUGGCCUGGGGGACUGGGGCGAUGGCAGCGUCAAAAUCGAAGUGGGGAUCCAUGUUCCGGAGAUGGCUGAAGACGCGAGAAAAGGCGCGCCCGAGCAGGGCGCGGCUCCUCUCCUCCACCAACCUGUCAGCCCUGACCGACCGCGCCUUCAGCUGCGUCACCACGUCAGUGAAGACCUGAAGAUUGUUGGCGUAGUUGACUGCGUGCGGCUCGCCAACAACCACCUCGCAGAUGUUGCCCAAGGCUGCGUUGGCUCUCUCCGGAGCAUGGUGAGCAUGGGGUCGUGCUCAUGCUCCAGGAUUCGCUGCUGACGUAUCUCCUCCGCAUUCUGGCACGCAACGACCUCAGCCUCCUCCACCCGCUAGCGGAGAAGGAGCACCUCGGCCUGGGAGGUGGUUAACUCACCUUGCGCCACCUCAAAGGCGGCCCGGAAAGCAUCGGCCCGCCGCGUCGCCUCCUCUAGCUUGGCCCUCAAGGCAGCAGUCCUGCCUUCAGCCUCGGCCCGGAUCAACCCCAGCUUCUCUUCGAACUCGUGCUCGAGGUUCAAAUGCGCCAUCGCCACCCGGCUUCUGACCUCCUCUAGGACACGGGCUUCCUGUGCAGCGACAUCAUCCUCCGCCUGCGUCACCAAGCGCUCCCUCGUCUCUAGACGCUCGUACUCGCGGGUACGUUCGGCGGCUUCUAGCAUCAGCGCCUCCUCACGCUUCUGGAGCUCAGCUGAGUCGCCAGAGGCCACCUUCAUCGACGCGAGGGCUGCCUCGCGCAGCUCCACCUGCUCCUCCAAUGAGUGGCACCAGGCCAGGAGCUCCCGAGCCCGCUCCUCCGCCGCCGUUUGCCGUCGGUCAGCUUCCCGGGCCUCCUCGGCGGCCCAAGAUCGGGCCUCCCGAGAGGCCACCAGCGACGCCUUGGCCUCUGCAUCGUUAAGAUCGCGCUGACGGCGCGCAAGGGCGAUGGCACCCUCCAGCUCGCGCCUCUCUGCAGCUAGGCGCAGGCCCUCGGCCUCAAGGCGCGCAUCUUCAUCAGCAAGCUCCUCACCAAGCAGGCUUACCGCGUCAGCCGCCCUUCGAAGGAAUCCUUGGCGGAGAGCGCGACGCUCCCGAGCGCGCUCGAGCACGUCUUCCACACCAUCAUCUGCCCCAAGCAAGCGCCGGGGGCCACGAAUCAGCACUCCCCCUCCGGGCAGGGGGCUGGGGGCUGGCACCCUCGCGACGGCCGGGCACGCCAUGCCAGAAGCCCGGCCUGGAGCCAGCCCGUCCCCAGGUGAAGAGCGCAGGGAGCGCCUCAGCCAAUCGCAGUCCACGACCAGGCGAGAAGCCCACGGCAGGCUGGCUAUGCCACGAGAAGGCCCGCGAAGGAGGAUCGUGAGGUGCGCAGGGCCACGAUGCGCCUCGGGACGGUUCGCCUCUCCGAUCGCCCUCACCGCAAGGGCUCUGCUGCUAGGAGCACUUGAGGACGGUGGAGGGGGCGAAGCCAAGGGGGACGGCACCUCAGCCGUCUCUGCGAGCUCGGCUGGAAGGGGCCUGCGGAGCAAGGGUCAGUAAAAGCAACAGAAGGAUCGGGAGCUGGGAAAGGAGAAGGCUUACUCAUCAGUGGCGAAGUGCUUCCUACGCUUCAGCAGGCAACAAGGGUAAUCGUCGCCCAGGGCCUCCCUUCUCUUCCGGAGGGCCUCAAAGUCCAUGCAAAAGCGGCCCAAGAGUUGGGCGCAGGGAUCAACCUGCAACGAAGACAGAGCGUCAAGGCGAUCUGCGUCAGAGGCGCCCGCCUAAUGCGCGUUGCCAACCGCCUCGCCAAGAGAAGCAGCUGGAGCCUCAGGGGCCUCAUUCACAGGCGCUAAGGGCAGCUGCUUGCCACCCUCGGCCUCAGCGGCACGGGCCCCAGGAGCUGCUCCCUCAUGAGCAUCGCCCUGCGCUGUCACCCCGCCGGGAGCCCCCUCGGCCUCUGGCGUCUCAUGCCUCCCUGCUCCGCCGCUUGCGGAAGAGUCGCCGUGGCCGACUAGAAGGCCAGUCACCAUCACUGGGUUCUCGCGAGGUCCCUGGAGGCCAGCGGGGCGCGACCCCCACUCAUCAAAGAUAGGCAUCUGCUUCACAAAAUCGCCCCUGCUCUGGCAGAGGUACAGCAAGGCCCCUCCCUGCUGGAUGCUGCCAGGGUUGGGGUCCCCAGUCAGGGUCAAGAGCGCUGAAAGGAUCGAUAUGGUUGACUAGAGGGGGGGGGGGUGAAUAGGCAACUAACAAUUUUUAGCUUUUCUUUAGCAAUUUAAACUUUGCAUCAAAGUAGGUUGUCUAGAUAUGCAACUAGAUGAGCAACCUAUAUGAUGCAACACGAAUAGGAACACAAGCAAGCAAGAUAUAUGAAACAAAUAAGCUACACAAGUAAAGGCACGAGAUAACCAAGAGUGGAGACGGUGGAGACGAGGAUGUGUUGCCGAAGUUCCUUCCCUUUGAGAGGAAGUACGUCUCCGUUGGAGCGGUGUGGAGGCACAAUGCUCCCCAAGAAGCCACUAGGGCCACCGUAAUCUUCUCACGCCCUCACACAAUGCGAGAUGCCGUGAUUCCACUAUUGGUGCCCUUGGAGGCGGCGACCGAACCUUUACAAACGAGGUUGGGGCAAUCUCCACAACUCAAUUGGAGGCUCCCAACGACACCACGAAGCUUCACCACAAUGGACUAUGGCUUCGCGGUGACCUCAACCGUCUAGGAUGCUCAAACACCCAAGAGUAACAAUAUCCGCAAGGGAUUAGUAGGGGGAAUCAAAUAUCUCUUGGUGGAAGUGUAGAUCGGGGCCUUCUCAACCACUCCCGAGCAAAUCAAUGAGUUUGGUUGGCUAGGGAGUGAGAUCGGGCGAAAAUGAAGCUUGGAGGAAUAAUGGAGCUUUAAUGGUGGAAGAGGUGAGUCAACGGGGAAGAAGGAGACCCUUUAUAUAGUGUGUGGAAAAGAUCCAACCGUUACCCACCAACCAGUCCGUGGCCAGCGGUACUACCGCGCCUGGCCAGCGGUACUACCGCAAGGCCGCGCGGUACUACUGCUUGCAACCAAGCGGUACUACCGCACGGCAGUGCGGUACUACCGUACCGUCCCAUGGUACUGCCGCGACCCCAGUCAGGGAAACAGACGCAAGCUGGGGGCGGUACUUCCGCACGCAUGGUACUACCGCGCCCCCAAUGCAGUAUUACCGUAAGGCAAAAGUCCCGUCCAGGGGGAAGGGGAACUUCCGUGCCUACUUCCACAAAAAAACGGAAGUAGCAAAAACUCGACACAGUAGUACUACCGAGGGGCGGUACUACUGCCUGACCGCAUAGCGCGGUACUACCGCACGGCGAAAACGGUACUACCGGGGCAGGUGCGGAUGUAAAAAAUUACAUCCGCUCCUACUACCGCAAAGGGGCGGCACUAGCCUGGUGGGCAGCGGUAGUGCGGCUCCAGGGGAGCGGUACUACCGUGAGCACCAGCGGUACUACCGCGCCACCGCGCGGUACUACCGUGGAUGCCCACGGUACUACCGUUGAUCCAGGAGCAGUACUACCGCAACCACAACAGCAGCCAGUCAAAGGAGGCAGGAAAAACGGAGGAAGCUCCAAGGAAGAAGGAGGGGAUAAAAGGAGACGUGUACGUGAUGAUUCCACCCAAACCUUUCCAACGCGGACCCCCUCUUAAUAGUACGGCUUUCCUACGACUCAAAUCCACCAAAAAGAAACGUAGAAAAGACGCCGUCUUCGUCAGUCUUCGAGGGGCACCCAAUCGUCUUGUGCCUAGCAGAGAAGAGUCUGGAAAACUCAUGGCACACGAUUAGUCCGCAAAUACGUUGUCAUCAAUCACCAAAACACUUAGGGAUAAAUAUGUCCUUACAAUCUCCCCCUUUUUGGUGGAUUGAUGACAAAACGGGAUUUGCACAAGGAAAAAUACUAUUGAGUAAAAGCAAACCCCUCCUCUCUAUAAUAUAGACGGGCUCCCCCUAAAUGUGUGCCACCUAGACGAGCACGAAUACUAGGAACCGAGCUCCCCCUAUAUUAUAGAGACAAGACAAAUUUAUCACUAGACAAGAUAGUACAAACAUAAGAUAACUAAGAUAGGUAGAGUGCAUAUGUCUUACACCAUAUGGAGGAAAGGUCUCAGAAGCACAAACAGAACUAAAGCAAACGAGGCAAACGAGGUCCAAACGACAAAGCAAACAAACACACCAAGCACGACACAAUGCAAAUCCCUACACUCUCUCCCCCUUUGGCAUCGAGACGCCAAAAAGGCAGAGAGGACACCUACACACACGGGGUGGCUCAGGCAGAGAAGUCGUCCCACUGCUCCUUGUGCUCCUUGUCAGACUCAGCGGCGGGGAUAGUCUCCUCCAUGUCAUUCUCUGAACUGGUCCACUUGUAGCCCUGCUUAGACAUCCAGGCAGCCUCAGGUGUGAUGACGUCCUCAGACCCGCCAGACACAUCCUCUUCAAAGAGCCUCAUCACCUUCUUGUCACGAUGGCGACUCUCCUUGUCAGUCACGUGAGCCCUGUACUGUCCCUUCGCCUGCAUGCAGAAGAGAGUCUUCAUCUUGUCCUUUAGCUUCUUGGCCCAUGAUGGCUCAGAGGAAGAGGUGGUGGACCUAGCAGCAUGGUCCUCAGCAGCAGUCUCAGCAGCAGCAGCCUCCCCCUCACCAGCAGCCCUCCUAGCAGAAGAUGCCUCAGCACGAGUAGUGGUGUUGGCCCAGUUGGGCUUGACGCGAAGGCUGAUGGACUCAUGGCGAAUCCAGUCUGGAGCAAGGAACUCAUCACCUGGAUACGUCUUCUCCCAAGUGGUGGAGAACAGCAGAAACAGGUACGGUCCAUAGAUAGGAACCUUGCGAGUGAACACCGCAAACCGAAGCUCACACCACAUGAUGUGAGAGACAUCAAGUGGCUGAGUCUGAGAAGUACGUGCCUCUGCACACAAGAGCAACAUGUCCACUAGAUAUGCAUGAACCUUGUCCUUGUCGCCAAUGCGUGGGAACAGAGUGUUGCGAAAGAUGCGAUGCUUGAUAUCCAGAAAGGAGUUCAACAUCCAAGAUGACUUCCCAUUGGGGAGUACCUUCUCAACAAGGAAGGGCUGAAGCUGGUUCUUGUUGGCAGACUCAGAGUUGGCAUGGGGGCGGACGCCAACGGGGGUGUGAAGCCUGUCAUCAGGAAUGUGCAGCAGAUCCAUGAACUCUUUCCAUGUAGCAGACAGCUGACGGCCAUUGGUCAUCCAAGUCAUCCUCCGCUCCUCCCCGGGAUGAAAGUACACUGAGGCAAAGAACUGACAGAUAAGCUCAGGGUCAUAGUCAAGGUGAAAGGAGAUCACCGGCUCAAUAGCAAACUGCUCCACCAAGUCUAGAGCCUCUCUAAAAUAGUCACGAAACUUGUCUUUCCGCGGGUGAUGCAUGUCUAUCCACUUGACACCCACGUAGGUAUUCUGCUUGUUCUUGAUCACGUCCAGAUAGAUGAGAGCCCGUUGCUUGGUCCAGAACAACUUGGUGCCUCUGAGGAUAGCCCGAGGAUUCACAUAGGGAUUGAUCUUCCGGCGCUCGACAUACUCAGUGGUUGAAAUCUCAUCCAUGCCCUUAGCCGGUUCCUUUUGCUUACUGGCAGUGGACUUGACAUUGCGCUUGGGGGCAUUGGAGCCCUCUGGGGCUUCAUCUUGGGGGUUGCGCAGAUGCUUGGAGCCAGUGUCACGACUGGGAUUGGAACGGCGAGAGCCACCACCUAAGACACAAAACGCAAAAACACCCACAACAGCCAAGAGAGAUUAAUGCAAAGACCACAACAAAGCAAGUGAAACAAGUAGAAAGCACACAUGAUACAUGCCUAGAGAGAGAUUUGAUCCCUACGGUAGUACUGCCAAGAGCUGCGGAGCUAAGAGAGUAGUACGGCUCUUAGACGCGGUAGUACCAUGCAAGAUCACGAUAGUACCGGGUGUAGGAGCGGUAGUACGACCUUAGCACCGCGGCCGGCGCGGUAGUACCGCAUCUGUGGAGGGGUAGUACCGCACGGUACGGUAGUAUCGCGCCUGACGGGCGGUAGUACCGCGAGAGCGGUAGUACCGCACAUCGGGCACGGUAGUACCGCACCGCGUCGGAUCUGAACUGGUUCAAAUCUGAGAAAGCCCGCGAAACCACGGCAGUACUACGGUAAGACAAAGCUACCACAGGACACCAUAUCAAGUAUGUUUCCUACGCAUCACGACUCUCCUACAUCCUACUCUUGCAUAGAUUUGGCCUAAAAUCUCAAGAACAACAAGUUUCUCCCCAAAAGCCUAGAAGCAAGAGAACAUCCAAGAAAAAGAGGGAUUUGGGGAAAACCUUGGUCCAUGGCAAGAGGAAGUGGUGGGGAACGAUCCCACCGGUCAGAAUCCGAGGAGAGUGGCCGGAGAUGGAGAUCCGGCGAGGGCCUUGUCGUGGUUCUAAGCCUGACAGUAGAGUGGGGGGUAGGUAUUGAGAGGCAAGGUCCUAGCUAUGGAGAGGUUGUAAGCACAAAGGAUGUACGAGUUCAGGCCCUUCUCGGAGGAAGUAACAGCCCUACGUCUCGGAGCCCGGAGGCGGUCGAGUGGAUUAUGAAUGUAUGGAUUACAAGGUGCCGAACCCUUCUGCCUGUGGAGGGGGGUGGCUUAUAUAGGGUGUGCCAGGACCCCAGCCAGCCCACGUAGGAGAAGGUUUAAGGUGAGUUAAGUCUGGGGCGUUACUGGUAACGCCCCACAUAAAGUGUCUUUACUAUCAUAAAGUCUACUUAAUUACAGGCCGUUGCGGUGCAGAGUGCCUCUUGACCUCCUGGUGGUCGAGUGCGUCUUCGUGGUCGAGUCCUUCAGGCCAGUCGAGUGUGUCCUCGUUGGUCGAGUGAACCCUCGUUGGUCGACUGGAAGGCGACCUCUUCUAGGGAUGUCCUAGGGUAAGUUACUUGGGACAGGUCCGUGACCCUACCCUAGGUACAUAACCCCAUCAUUAGCCCCCGAAUGGAUUGAGGCUUCGAGUAAAGGAGGAGUUGACGUCGUUUCCGAUUAACCUUUGCGCUCUAGUUGUGCGCUGUUCUGGAUCAAAGAAUCUCUUCGUUGACAAGGAGCAAUUCGUCUUCGGUCGACUCGAUCCAUUCUAUUUUUGCGUCGAGUGAUCUUUCGAACUUCGUCGAUCUCCGAGCGACGGAUCGCCGGAAUCGCCGCGUCUGACAGGCAGAUUUGUUGUUCGCGGAUUCUGCGGGGUGCGAAAUUCGGGGGCGCGCGCGAAGCGGGGCGGACCGCGGCGUUCGGAUGGGACGGGGCGUAGACGCCUCGAUCUCCGCGCCGCCUUUUUCGCCACGUAUCCAGUCUCCAUAACUGCUCACAGAUAUGAUUAGAUCGACCGAGCCCACACGUCAGCCACUCGGAAGGGACCUUAUAAAUGUGCCCGGCGAGGAUUUCUGUGCUGCGCCUCCGCAUUCUCCCUCUUUCCCUCCGCUCCCUUCCUCCCUGCUCAGCGUGCCUGCUCUCGCCUCCGCACCGCUCUCCUUCGUGCAUCCCACCGGCGACCAUGGCCAAGGAGAAGACGGUGGCGCUGGAGCGUGCCAAGAAGGCAUCGGCAUCGGAGAAGGCGAAGGGGAGAUCCACAAGCCGCCGAGGAUCUUCGUCCAGAUCCCGCCUGCCGAAAGGCUGGGUCCAAGGCGACUGGAUCCAGUCGACCAUCACGGAGAAGGACCUCCUCGACAUGGCCGACGAGGGCUUGAUCCCUCACGGAGCUGCGAGGUUGCCGGGGAAGGAGUGGCAGCCACAGCCAGAAGAGGGUGAGUGUGUGCUCCUGGCCACUCAUGUCGAUCGGGGGUUUUCCUUGCCACCGAGCAUUUUCUUCCGAGGUUUCCUGAAUUUCUUUGGAGCGCAGCUCCACCACUUUACCCCAAACUCCAUUGCCUACCUUGCUGCGUUCGUGUCCAUGUGCGAGGGUUUCUUGGGCUGUCGACCGCACUGGGGUUUGUUUAAACGUAUCUUCACGUGUCGCUCUCAGACCGUGAAGAAGGCGAGCCCAGGUGACGAGAAGACCCGAGUCGUCCAAAUGUGUGGGGGCCUGGGGAUUCAGGUGAGGAACAAUAGCACAUUCCCGCCCAUGUCUUUUCCCGAGUCCGUCAGGGGCUGGCAGUCGACUUGGUUCUACUGCCAGGUCCAGUCGACGCCAGGGCAGUCGAGUGGACUCCCUCAAUUUACCAUGGACCGAGUGAACAAGCCCUCCCCUCUGAAGCUGAUUCCGGAGGAGAAAGCCGACGUGAAGAUGUUGAUGGAGCGAGUGGUGCAGCUGGUUCGGGACGGAGUGACAGGCAUGGACCUCUUGGAGGUUUUCCUCAAGCGCCGCAUCCAACCUCUCCAGUUCCGGAGCCACUGCAUGUGGUUGUACUGUGGGCCCGCGGACGAGACCAGAGUCCAUCCAGAAGAAGUCGAUGAUGUCACUCUGGAAAGGUGGAUGGUAGCCGUUACCGGGAACAGGGACAACCCGCGCGGAGCCAGAAGGAUUCCUCCACUCGACCACGACAACGUCCCAAACAAGGUACACUUGCUCUGCUUUCCGUCGUGUCUUUGUUGUAUUCAUUCUUGCCGAUCCUGUCGACUGGUCGACUGAUCGUUGUUUGGGCGACUGCUAGGCCUUCACCGAGCUGUACUCGAUGCCCAAUGGGGCACAAACUUCGACUGAAGAAGGCGAGGCGAGCGGGGGCGAGGCGAGCGGAGGUGAGGCGAGCGGGGGCGAGAGCCAGGGAGAGGAGGAAUGGGACUCGGAUGCUGCAGGGGAUGACGACGACGAUGAUGAUGAUGAAGGUGAUGAAGAUGACCUCGAGGACGAGGAAGAAGAGGAGGAGGAGGUCGUUCCACCGCGCUCAGAAAGGCGGUCGAAACUUGUCCACGACCCCUCGACCGAACGUGGUAAGGGGGUAGCGACCGCUGCCCAGUCGACCAAGCGCCCUCGGACUACCUCUCCGGCGCCGACUGAAAAGGCGCCGAAGCAGCCCAGGGCGGCCUCAUCGAAGCCGGCCAAGCUUCUGCCGAAGAUGAAGGUGUCCAUCCCCACCAUUUCAGGGUAAUAGUCUUGUUCAUAUUUUCUUAUUCUUAUGCGAACUUUAUCUCUGGUCGACACUGAUGUUAGUCGACUGACCCUUUGGAGCUGCAGUGCUGCUACUUCUGAGACCUCGACCCGGGCCGAUGACCACGAGAUGGAGGAUGCCGCAACUUCGAAUCCAGGUGCCGUGUUCUUAAUACCAUACUUAGUCGACUGACUCGCGAUCUCUGAUCCUGACACUUCUCUGCAGCUCCACCCAACACUGUUAUCGAUCUGCCUGAUGAUGAUGAGGAUGAGGAGCCGCUGAAGCACAGGAGGAGUCGGAAAGCGCCUGCCGGCAAGGUGUCUCAGGAUGCGUCAGCGCCUGAGAUUCUGACUGUGGAGGGAGAGAACACCACUCGACACACGGUGACCUUCGCGACCCCACUGACGAGUGCUCAGCAGCCUUCCCUCUUCACGACUCACCACGUCCCAGAGGACCAAGCUGGUGCGGCGAAGGAGGCGAUACGCCAGGCGGGACUCAUGAUGGAGCAGCUGAAGACCAUCCGGGAUGCGAGUCAAGCAGCCUAUGACGCCAGCUCUGCCCUCCAAAGCAAUGUNNNNNNNNNNNNNNNNNNNNNNNNNNNNNNNNNNNNNNNNNNNNNNNNNNNNNNNNNNNNNNNNNNNNNNNNNNNNNNNNNNNNNNNNNNNNNNNNNNNNGAGACCACUUCAGAUAAUUUGCCUUCGCUGGAGCAACCAUGUUAACCUCUCGGUUAAUUACUUUCAGUCGACUUCUGCUUUCCACAUCUGCGAAGAUCAUCAGAGUGGAGUUGAUAUGCGGGUAUCCUCCCUCACUGUCCUCUUUGUCUUCGGCUUUGUCCGACUCCUUCUCCUUGUCCUUAGACUGUUUUCCCUGAAACUGCUGGAUCAGGAGUCGACAUUGGCGAGUGGUGUGCUUUGGGUAAAUGAUAUUGCCCUCUUCAUCUUUCUUCGUGUGAAUAUGACACGGCAUAUCCAUCACGUCGUUCCCUUCUUUAUCCUUCACCUUCUUGGGGUUCCAGGAUCCUUUUGGUUUCCCCUUAGACUUUCCUUGAGUCACGGCCAGAGCCUCUCCAGGAGCUGCUGGUUCAGCCUUCCGCUUCUGUUUCCGACUGGAAUUCCCUUUUUCCGACUGACUAGGCUUGUGCUUGCCGCUUCGGAGUCGGUCUUCUUCUUCGCCGUUGGCGUACUUGGUAGCAAUCUCCAUCAUACGACUCAAGGUCAUGUCACCGGUUCGACCAAAUUUCAAGCUGAGUUCUCUGUUCUUGACGCCAUCUUUGAAGGCGCACACUGCCUGAUGAUCAGAGACAUUUUCCACUGUGUGAUGCAAAGUGAUCCACCUCUGAAUAUACUCUCUGAGAGUCUCAUUGGUUUUCUGCACGCAGACUUGCAACUCUGUCAAUCCCGCUGGCCGCUUGCAAGUCCCUUCGAACGUUCUGACGAACACUCGGGACAGAUCUUCCCAAGUGUAGAUACUGCUAGGAGGUAAUUGGGUCAACCAUGCCCUGGCAGAACCUUCCAACAUGAGGGGCAAAUGCUUCAUGGCCACCUCGUCGUUCCCACCACCGAUCUGAACUGCCACUCGGUAGUCUUCAAGCCAAGUUUCAGGCUUAGACUCACCAGUGAACUUGCUGACUCCUGUCGCCAACCUGAAAUUGGGGGGAAUAACAGCGGCUCUGAUAGCUCUGCUGAAACAUUCAGGGCCAGAAACAUGUACUCGACUGCUCGUGGGCACUUCUUUGUCGAGUGCACCACGAUGGGCUCUGUUCCGGUUGACCAACCCUUGCACGAUAAUGGAUCGCGCGUCGAAGCCUGGCUCCCUGGGGUCAACUGGAACUCUACGCCCUGUACUGUACUGACGCCUAUCAUCUGGCUGCCGAGGAGCGUAAGACCCACCCCUCGGAGGGGAAUAAGGCACUCGACGCCUAUCAUCUCGGUCGAGCCUGUCGCCAUAUUGAUCUCGCCGAUGCUCAUACCCUUCGCGCCGCGGAGGCGAUCUGGGGCUGUGAGCCGACUGUACCGUAUUCAUAGUGACAGAUCGACUGUGAAUCCUGUUGCGCGACUGAGACACGGCUGAAUUCUGAUCUCCUGCUGCCCGGAGCAGAUCUCUGAUCUGCAGCAAACCUCUGCCAGCUUCUGACUGCGAAGGCUGAAUGGACUCUGCUAUACGGGUCGCUGCUGCUAAAUUCUGAAUCGGGGUUCGAUAUACCUGAGUCGGCGGGAAGAGUUGACGUCGACUGGUGCCGGGAACUCGUUGCCGCGCGCGCUCGUCGAGUGCUCGCUGAAGGUUCUCCAGUCGAGUGCGCUCAGCCAAAUUGGCCAGGCGCGCCUCCUCCAAGGCGCGAGCCUCGGGGGUUUCUCCUGCGAUAGGAAUACGCAGGGGAUCCUCGUUCCUGCGGCGAAGCUCUUCUCUUUGCAGAGAGUCGAGUGGCUCGGGCUGGUACUCUUCGUAACCUCGAGCAGGGUCGCCGCCGUCGCCUGCUCCACCACCGCGGGCAAAGCCGGGAGGGCUAUGAGGCCCGUUGACCAUCAGGAUUUCCGCCGCUGGAUCACUGCUUCCGCAUUCGGAUGCAGUCUCUCCGGAGCCAGUCGACUGAUCGAACAAGCCGCAGAGAGAUUCGUUGGGCUCGAUUGCCGCAACUUGCGUAGUGGUCGACUGGCGAGCCACCGCGUGACUCACCCAUCGCUGAAGCCUCGACCGACCUGAGCGCUUGCGCUGGCGGGAGACCGGGAGGGUGGAAGGAACUGACCGAUACUGGGUUGACGGUUGCCGCAACAGAACGCCGCGGACACAUGCGCGGAAAUGCGUCGCACCGCGGACGGGGAGCGCAUCAACGUCGAGCGGAGCCUCUUGGAGCCAUGCGGAGUCGUCGGCGAUGAAGGUGAGAGUGCCGAGACGGAUCUCUUGACCCUCGAUCAAAACUCCAGCAGACACCAUGAUGAAAAUACUCGGAAGAAUCGCAACUUCUCCACAAAAUCGCUAAAACACCUGCCCCACGGUGGGCGCCAACUGUCGUGGUUCUAAGCCUGACAGUAGAGUGGGGGGUAGGUAUUGAGAGGCAAGGUCCUAGCUAUGGAGAGGUUGUAAGCACAAAGGAUGUACGAGUUCAGGCCCUUCUCGGAGGAAGUAACAGCCCUACGUCUCGGAGCCCGGAGGCGGUCGAGUGGAUUAUGAAUGUAUGGAUUACAAGGUGCCGAACCCUUCUGCCUGUGGAGGGGGGUGGCUUAUAUAGAGUGUGCCAGGACCCCAGCCAGCCCACGUAGGAGAAGGUUUAAGGUGAGUUAAGUCUGGGGUGUUACUGGUAACGCCCCACAUAAAGUGUCUUUACUAUCAUAAAGUCUACUUAAUUACAGGCCGUUGCGGUGCAGAGUGCCUCUUGACCUCCUGGUGGUCGAGUGCGUCUUCGUGGUCGAGUCCUUCAGGCCAGUCGAGUGUGUCCUCGUUGGUCGAGUGAACCCUCGUUGGUCGACUGGAAGGCGACCUCUUCUAGGGAUGUCCUAGGGUAAGUUACUUGGGACAGGUCCGUGACCCUACCCUAGGUACAUAACCCCAUCAGGCCUCCGGCGCCGUUCUUGAGAGGGAGAGACGUGGAGAGAGAGACAAUGAAUGGGUAUGGGGAGUUGUAACUCCCCUGCCCGAGUCAUAACCCCCACGCGCCCUUGACGGCGCGGUAGUACCGUGCCCAGACACGGUAGUACCGCACAGUGCGGUAAGUACCGCACCAGAGCGGUGGUAUCGUGCUGUGGCGCGGUAGUACCGUGCCUCCCAAAGCGAUAGUACCGCGCCCAGACGCGGUAGUACCGUGGGAUCAAGAAGAUGCACGUUUCGAGCGCGAAAAACUGGAUCUUUGCACAAACCACUCCGAGCCAACACAACACCACAAGACCACGCAACACACAAAACUAGAAAGGCACACGACAAACGAACCAACCACGAGACACCACCUCUCCAAAAGAGAGGGCGGUGGCCGUAGCCACCUAUGUUUGAGUCAAUUGGUAUGGCACCGCGAAGAAUUAUCCUUGGGUCCAUGACCAAAACUCGUCUUUGAAGCACAAGUACCAUCAAAUAUGGCUAAUGUGAAAGACUUGAUUGAUUUAUGCAUAAUGGGGGGAGGGAGAGUUCAUUGAGAGAACAUCACCCCCCUAUGUCCAUGCCUACAUCUAAAUAGGACAACACGUUGAGUAUGAUGGGGUGUGCAAGGGUUCAAGCAACAUUGCUCGAAUCGAUGAUAUUUAGCUCAUGCCUUAACUCGCGAAAUCUUGCUUCAUCCAAGGGCUUCGUGAAGAUAUCUGCAAGGUUAUCAUGAGUGUUGACGUAGUUGAGCUCGAUCUCUCCUCGCCUAAUGUGAUCCCGGAUGAAGUGAUACCGGAUCUCAAUAUGCUUCGUCUUAAAGUGUUGCACCGGGUUGAGAGAGAUCUUGAUGGCACUUUCAUUGUCACACCAAAGAGGCACUUUGUCACAAGUGACACCAUAAUCCUUUAAAGUUUGCCUCAUCCAUAAGAGUUGUGCACAACAACUACCGGCCGCAACAUACUCCGCUUCGGUGGACGAGAGAGACACACAACUUUGCUUUUUGGAAGACCAACUUACCAAAGAGCAACCAAGGAAUUGGCACCCUCCGAAAGUGGACUUCCUAUCCACUUUGUCUCCCGCCCAAUCGGAAUCCGAGUACCCUACAAGCUUGAAGUUUGAUCCUCUUGGGUACCAUAAGCCAAAGUUUGGGGUAUGAGCCAAAUAUCGAAAGAUUCGUUUGACCGCCACAUAGUGACUUUCCUUAGGUGCGGCUUGAAACCGUGCACAAAUUCCCACACUCAACAUGAUGUCUGGUCAAGAUGCACAAAGGUAAAGCAAGGAUCCAAUCAUGGAACGAUAUACCUUUUGAUCCACCACUUUACCAUUGGGAUCUAAGUCAAGUUGGCACUUGGUGGGCAUUGGAGUGGAAGCCGGCUUGACAUCACUUAGAUUGAAUCUCUUGAGCAUGUCUUGAGUGUAUUUGGAUUGAUUGAUGAAGGUUCCUUCUCUUCUUUGCUUCACUUCGAAUCCUAGAAAGAACUUCAACUCUACUAUGGAGGACAUCUCAAACUUUGAGGUCAUGAGAGCGGCAAAUUCCUCAUUGAAAGCUUUAUUAGGAGAUCCAAAGAUAAUAUCAUCAACAUAUAAUUGGCACACAAACAACUCCCCUUUGACCUUCUUAGUAAAAAGAGUGGGGUCGAUUAGCCCAACUUCAAAACCACGGUCUUGUAACAACUCGGUAAGGUGGUCAUACCACGCACGUGGGGCUUGUUUAAGGCCAUAGAGUGCCUUAUCGAGUUGAUACACAUGAUCGGGAAAGUAGGGAUCCUCGAACCCAGGGGGCUGAUUGACGUACACCAAUUCAUUAAUGGGACCAUUAAGAAAAGCACUCUUCACAUCCAUUUGUUGUAACUUAAAGUUAUGAUGAGAAGCAUAUGCAAUCAACAUGCGAAUGGAUUCAAGACGAGCAACGGGAGCAAAGGUUUCACCGUAGUCGAUACCCUCGACUUGGGAGUAGCCUUGUGCUACCAAACGAGCCUUGUUGCGAAUGAUAAUCCCAUGGGCAUCUUGCUUGUUCUUGAAUAUCCACUUGGUUCCAAUGACAUUGUGGUUCCCCGUUGGCCUUGGCACCAAUCUCCACACUUUGUUGCGCUCGAAGUUGUUGAGUUCUUCGUGCAUGGCAUUGAGCCAAUCCGGAUAUUCUAGCUCCUCAUAGACCUUGUGGGGUUCCACACAAGAGACAAACGCGUGAUGCUCACAAUAAUUUGCUAAUUGUCUGCGAGUGCUUACCCCCUUUCUUAAGCUUCCAAGCACAUUCAUCAUGAGAUGAUCCUUGGUGGAGAGCUUGGAAGCAACCUUGGCGGCACAACGCUCUAAUUCCUCCUCUGUGGUGAGUUGAGGAGCGGUUACUUGAUCAUCUUGAGCGUCGUCAUGAACUUGUUCUUGAUCUUGAACUUACUCGGGGGAGAGAACUUGACCUUGGGCAUCACUUGGUGUGUCCACACCGUCUUGAGUAUGAUCUUGCCCUUGGUCUUGUUCAUGAGGUUGAGGGCCUUCACUUUGUUCUUCGAAAGCGUGUGGGCCUUGGGUUGGUGAUGGCUCCACUUGAGUGGAGCAUUGUCCUUCUCCUUCGGCCACAAGGGGUUCCUCAAUGGGUAGGAUGAAACCAACACCCAUUCUUCUUAUGGCUUGAGGAGGAAUUUCAUCACCUACAUCACAAGUGCCACUUUGCUCCACUUGGGAGCCGUUAUUCUCAUCAAACUCCACGUUACACGUCUCCUCAAUAAGUCCCGUGGAUUUAUUGAGGACACGGUAAGCAUGAGAGUUUGUAGCAUAACCAACAAAUAUGCCCUCAUAAGCUCUAGCCUCAAAUUUAGACAACCGAACACCUUUCUUGAGAAUGAAACACUUACACCCGAAUACCCGGAAGUACUUAAGGUUGGGCUUGUUACCGGUGAGUAUUUCAUAUGGAGUCUUGUUCAAGCCCUUGCGGAGGUAGAGCCGAUUUGAUGCAUGACGCGCGGUGUUGAUGGCUUCGGCCCAAAAGUUGUACGGAGACUUGAACUCCGCCAUCAUGGUCCUUGCCGCAUCCAUCAACGUCCGGUUCUUCCUCUUCGCAACACCGUUUUGUUGAGGGGUGUAGGGUGCGGUAUAUUGAUGCUUGAUUCCCUCAUCACUAAGAAACUCAUCCAAGGUGCAGUUCUUGAACUCGGUGCCGUUGUCACUUCUUAUUGUCAAGAUCUUUGCAUUGUGUUGACAUUGUGCUUCAUUUGCAGAGUCAAUGACGGUUUGUUGGGUCUCGCUCUUCCUCUUGAAGAAAUACACCCCCGUGUACCUUGAGUAGUCAUCCACAAUCACCAAGCAAUACUUCCUACCUCCAAGACUAUCGAAGGAUGGAGGCCCAAAGAGAUCCAUGUGAAGGAGCUCCAAAGGCCUCUUUGAAUAAAUGAUAGUCGUGGGAGGGUGAGCUUCUCAUGUAGCUUUCCUUUGAUACAGGCACUGCAAGCAUGAUCUUUAGCAAAACUAACAUUCGUUAGUCCAUGGACAUGGUCCCCCUUGAGGAGACUUUGCAAAGAUCUCAUAUUGACAUGGGCUAAACGGCGAUGCCACAGCCAUCCCAAAUCAAUUUUAGCCAUUAGGCAUGUCGCGGUCUUAGUGGGUCGCUCCGAAAAGUUAAUCACAUAUAGACCGUUCUCGACAUGCCCAACAAAGGCUACUUUAUGAGUCUUGCUCCACAAGAGGGCCACGGUAUCGAUAUCAAAGAAAGUGGCAAAGCCCAUGAUAGCAAGUUGACAAAAGGAAAGUAAAUUGUAUGCAAGGGACUCAACAAGCAUGACCUUCUCGAUCGUGAGAUCAUGAGAGAUGACCACUUUGCCAAGUCCCAAUACCUUAGAAGAUGAGGCGUCACCCCACUCGACAUUGGUGGGCAUAGAUGGAACCUUGUGCACGUCCACCACCAAGUCCUUGCUUCCGGUCAUAUGAUUUGUAGCUCCGCUAUCGAGCAACCAUGAUCCCCCACCGGAAGCAAACACCUACAAGAGAUCAAUGCUUGGUUUUAGAUACCCAUUUUGUAAUGGGUCCUUUGAUGUUAGUAACAAGGGUUUUUGGAACCCAAAUAGACCAUUCAAUGUAUUCAUGAAGAGAACCAACAAAUUUGGCAUAAACAUGCCCAUCACUAGCAUGGCAUAACACAUAAGAAGGGUUAAAAUCGCCGGCUUUGUUGAGAGGGAUGGCAUUGCCCUUCUUGACAUUGUUCUUCUUCUUCUCCUCAGGGGCACUCUCUCCCUCCCUCACAAAGGUUUGCAUGAGGGGAGGAGGUCGUUUGGUCUUGUCAUUCUUCUUCUUGUUCUUGGAGUCGGGCACGUACCCAACCCCUUCCUUGGCCACACCUCCCUUUUGGUUGAUCAAGAGAUCGUUGAGGUUCUUCUUGCCUUGUAUGCAAGUCGCAAGACCUUUCUCAAGUUGCUCCUUCAACUUCGCAUUUUCCUCAACAAGAUGUAUAUGCUCACAACACGUGUUAGUAGCAUUUGCAUUAUCAAUUAAAACCAUAUGAGGAAAAGUUGAUUUCUCCUUAGUUAGCUUCACUUGGAGUUGAUCAUGAGACUCCUUGAGACUAGCAUGAAUACCCUUCAAGGCCUUGUGGGCCUUGUCAAGUAUAUCAAACUCCUCUCUGAGUCUAGCAAGAUCAACCCCGAGUUUGGCCUUCUCGGAAUUUAGCACACGAGAAACAAUGAGGGCAUGAUCAUAAUCUUUCUUUAACUUAGCAUGAUCAACGCUGUGUGACUCCUCAAGAGCCAAACGAAGACCACGCUCUUCCUCAAGAGCAUUGGAAAGAUCCGAAAUCUCAUCGGCAUAGUCAUGACUAUGCCCUUCCAUCUUAGAGAUGGUGUCUUCGUGAGCCUCGAUCAUGUCAUUGGCCUCACCUAGUUGUUCCAAGAGAGCAACAAAGUGCUUCUUGGAUUUUCCCUUGAGUUUGCCCAUAAAGGCCUCAAACUCGUUAGCCUCCACAUUAGCUCCCUCAAGUUCAUUAAUGCUAUCCGUUGGGGAAGGAUGAUUAAUGAUGGUAGUUUUGAUGUUGGAGGUUACCUUGUUGGUGGCUUUAGCCAUGAGGCACUUGGCGGUGAUGCUCUCGUUGGGUGAGUCAAAGAGAGACACCCGUGACGUUAUUGCAAUGGCAACGGAGGCCAUGGCAACCGACUCAUCAUCUUCAUCAUCAUCAUCAUCCUCAUUGUACUCUUCUUGCAAAACCAAAGCCUUGGGAGGAGUCUUCUUGGUGAAGUUGUUCUUGUUGGGGAACGACUUGGCCUUGUCCUUUCGGAUGAGUUUGCCACCAUUGUCUUCCCUCUUCUCAUACGGGCAUUCCGCAACGAAAUGACUCACGUUGCCGCAAUUGUAGCAAGUCCUUACACGUUGCUUGCCCCUUGUGCCACUCGAGUUGUUUUUGCUAAAAUUGGGCCUCGAGUUUUUCUUGCUCCAAAAUUGCCUUGAAGCAAGUGCCAUGUGUUCAUGAUAUGCAUACUUCGUAUCUUCGGGGUUGCUCUCCUCUUCUUCCUCUUCUUCUUCUUCCACGGUGAGCUUGGCCUUCAAUGCAAGGUUAGGCUUCUUUGCCCGUUGAGAACGGAGCACCGCAUUGUCGGCGGUCUUGUCCAAAAUGUUCAUGGCCACAAACUCAUCCAACACUUCGCUUGAGGUCAAAGUGUGGAAAUCCGGUCUUUGACGAAUGAUGGAAGACAUGGCCUUGUGGUAGGGCAUCAUUGCCUUGAGGAAUUUGCGCUUGAUCCAAUUGUCAUCCGUGUCCUUGCUCCCGUGAUCUCGUAGUGAGACCGCGAGUUUGGUUACUCUCCGAUAAAGCUCACGAGGUUCUUCAUCUUCCUUCAUUGCAAACUCAUCGGCCUCAUCUUGUACCACUUCGUAGUUGGAGCGUUGAAUGCUUGCGCUUCCCCGGUAGAGAGACACGACACAAUGCCAUGCAUCUUUGGCCAAGGCGAAGGGACGAAGAUGAGGUAGGUCUUCGGGUGGAAUUGCAUCUUGAAUGAUGAAGAGAGCAUUCUCAUUGAAUUGAUUGUCCGCGGCUUCUCGAGGAAUGAAGUUGCUUGGAUCAUGUGGAUAGAAACCUUCUUCAAUGAUUCUCCAAAGGUUAGUGUUCACAUGAUUUAAAUGACGUUUAAAGCGGUAAACCCAAGAAUCAAAAUCCUCAUUUUUCACAAUCUUAGGGGGAGGACCGGCAUGAUUCAAAUGAGUGAAAGGAACCGGUCCACCAUAAACAAGUGGUGGUUCCACAUGGGCAAAGAUGCCAGUGCCAUUCUUGCCACUAGAAGAAGGAGCCUUUUCACUACUAGCUUCCCCCUUGUCGGGGAUAGCAUCUGACACCUUGAUGGCGGGAUCACCCACUUUCAACGGUGCGGUGGAUAGUUUAAGCCCCUCAAGAAAUUUAGUAAACAUGCUUUCAACUUCGGUCGUCAUGGAGGUUUUCAAUGUCUCCAAGGCCACAUUGAACUCCUCACGAGAGACCGAAGUUCCCCCAUCGCCCGUAGACGAGAUAGGAUUCACACCGGAGUGUUCCUCUGCACCGUCUACGGUAUCAACCAUACUCUUUGGACGGUAAAGUCCUUAAUAAAGAGACGAGGCUAUGAUACCAAUUGAAAGGAUCGAUAUGGUUGACUAGAGGGGGGUGAAUAGGCAACCAACAAUUUUUAGCUUUUCUUUAGCAAUUUAAACUUUGCAUCAAAGUAGGUUGUCUAGAUAUGCAACUAGAUGAGCAACCUAUAUGAUGCAACACGAAUAGGAACACAAGCAAGCAAGAUAUAUGAAACAAAUAAGCUACACAAGUAAAGGCACGAGAUAACCAAGAGUGGAGACGGUGGAGACGAGGAUGUGUUGCCAAAGUUCCUUCCCUUUGAGAGGAAGUACGUCUCCGUUGGAGCGGUGUGGAGGCACAAUGCUCCCCAAGAAGCCACUAGGGCCACCGUAAUCUCCUCACGCCCUCACACAAUGUGAGAUGCCGUGAUUCCACUAUUGGUGCCCUUGGAGGCGGCGACCGAACCUUUACAAACGAGGUUGGGGCAAUCUCCACAACUAAUUGGAGGCUCCCAACGACACCAUGAAGCUUCACCACAAUGGACUAUGGCUUCGCGGUGACCUCAGCCGUCUAGGAUGCUCAAACACCCAAGAGUAACAAGAUCCGCAAGGGAUUAGUAGGGGGAAUCAAAUAUCUCUUGGUGGAAGUGUAGAUCGGGGCCUUCUCAACCACUCCCGAGCAAAUCAACGAGUUUGGUUGGCUAGGGAGUGAGAUCGGGUGAAAAUGGAGCUUGGAGCAAUAAUGUAGCUUUAAUGGUGGAAGAGGUGAGUCAACGGAGAAGAAGGAGACCCUUUAUAUAGUGUGUGGAAAAGAUCCAACCGUUACCCACCAACCAGUCCGCGGCCAGCGGUACUACCGCGCCUGGCCAGCGGUACUACCGCAAGGCCGUGCGGUACUACUGCUUGCAACCAAGCGGUACUACCGCACGGCAGUGCGGUACUACCGUACCGUCCCACGGUACUGCCGCGACCCCAGUCAGGGAAACAGACGCAAGCUGGGGGCGGUACUUCCGCACGCACGGUACUACCGCGCCCCCAAUGCGGUACUACCGUAAGGCAAAAGUCCCGUCCAGGGGGAAGGGGAACUUCCGUGCCUACUUCCGCGAAAAAACGGAAGUAGCAAAAACUCGGCACAGUAGUACUGCCGAGGGGCGGUACUGCUGCCUGACCGCAUAGCGCGGUACUACCGCACGGCGAAAACGGUACUACCGUGGCAGGUGCGGAUGUAAAAAAUUACAUCCGCUCCUACUACCGCAAAGGGGCGGCACUAGCCUGGUGGGCAGCGGUAGUGCGGCUCCAGGGGAGCGGUACUACCGUGAGCACCAGUGGUACUACCGUGCCACCGCGCGGUACUACCGUGGAUGCCCACGGUACUACCGUUGAUCCAGGAGCAGUACUACCGCAACCACAACAGCAACCAGUCAAAGGAGGCGGAAAAAACAGAGGAAGCUCCAAGGAAGAAGGAGGGGAUAAAAGGAGACGUGUACGUGAGGAUUCCACCCAAACCUUUCCAACGCGGACCCUCUCUUAAUAGUAUGGCUUUCCUACGGCUCAAAUCCACCAAAAAGAAACGUAGAAAAGACGCCAUCUUCGUCAGUCUUCGAGGGGCACCCAAUCGUCUUGUGCCUAGCAGAGAAGAGUCUGGAAAACUCAUGGCACACGAUUAGUCUGCAAAUGCGUUGUCAUCAAUCACCAAAACACUUAGGGAUAAAUAUGUCCUGACAAGCGCUGUCCUCAGCACUUCAGGCGUCAGGUCCUCUUCCUGGAGCCUCAUACGAUCAUCGCGCCCGCUGAAGGCCCACAUCCGACGGGAGUGGCGUUGGAGAGGAGCAACGCGGCGUAGUAGGAACUCCUUCACCACCUUGGACGCUGUCACGCCAAGCGACCUCAGGAACGCGAAGCGGUGCCAGACGAAGACAAGCCGGGGGCUCUCAAGCGUCUCCUGGCCCCAGCCCGAAUUGGGGACAGCAGGCGAAGUUGGCUCCGAUAGCAGGGGGCUAGGCACCCCUGCAUCCACAUACAGCCACCGCUCGCAAAACCCAACCGCGGGCAGAGGGAGCUUGAAGUCAAUCCCAGAGGCCGCUAUCUCAGACGCAACAACGAAGCUCACGCACGCCCAGCAUUGGGUAGGGUCGACAAGGCGCAGCGAGAAGAAGUGGCGCAGCAAGGCAACCGAAGGAAGGAUGCCCAUCAUAGCCUCGCAAAUGAAGGCGAAGACCGAAAGGAGGGUGAUGGAUUCAGGACCCAGAUGCAUCAUGUGGAUCUGAUAGUGGGAAAGCACGACAUUGAAGAAAUCAGAAAAGGGAGGAACCAGACCCGCCCACAGGGCGUCGGCGAAAUACGGGACCUCGGUGACUAUCCUGUCGAUGGAGAAGUGGGACGCGGGCCAGGCCAUCGUCCUCCCACAUUCGUUGAAGAUAGUGGCCAGAGCCGAGCUGACCUUGCCCAAGCCCUCGGCGGGGGCCGCCAACGGCAGCGGGCAAGGCGGAGGCACGGGUUUCUUCCCCCUUCCCUUCUUCGUCGGAGCCAUGGCGAUGGGAAGGAAGGGGGAAAGUUCGAGAUUGGGUUGAAAACAGAAGCUGGAGUUCGAGCGGAGGAAGGACAAAGGGCGCUCGAGCGACAGAAAGGGGAGCGGCUGUGUACAACUACGAGUCCGCCUAGCAUGGCGCAAAAUAAGGGGGGCGUGGGGGAACAGUGCCGCCCACGUCCAAUCAACCGCCACGCGGCGCCCAAGGCCGCAAGCUGUUAGGGCCCGCGGCGCUUCGCCCUUGCCCUUCCGUCUCCCUGCACGGCCAAGUCCGGGCGCGCCUUGGGCCCGGGGGCUACUGUCGGCGUUCUGGGAAUGGGGGUCCCCAGACUUGCCUGCCUGCGGCCUGCGGCGUGGCUCAAAGGGGGGCCCAGCAUGACCCAUCUUCAUCAACACAGACCCAAGACCCUCGUGAGGGGCCAAGCCUCGCGGGGCGGACGACACGGAGCUUCCUCAAGCACGGCCUCAUCAGGCUGGCUCGCGAGGAGGCGGAGAGAUCAAGGUGGGGUACCUCAUGAGGUGCCCGUGACGCAAGCCAUGACGACCAAAGGCGCCAGGCGGGCGCCAGGCGGGCGCCAGCCCGCGCAGUGUCCUCCUUUCCUCUUUGGUGCAAAGGGAGCAAGCGCAGCUGCAGAGUAUCGAGGCAUCAGGCAAAUGUUGCCAUUUUGGUGCAACAAGACCAAGACCAGGAGGACUGCAAGAUGGAGGUCAUUGUGGAGCCCAAGACGGUGUCACCACCAGAGCUUUGUGCAAGUGAAGACUACUUUUGUCAGGAUAGCUGGUACUAGCUGCCCCCCUUCAAAUUAGCCCGCCAUUGUUGGCUCCCUUCCCGCUCGAUAUUUGGGAAGAGGACCAGGGCCUCUAUAAAUAGGACUAGCCACCAUAGUAGGAAGGGGAGAUCGAAAUCCGAGAGGCAGAGGCUAAGGACGAAGAAGAGAAGAUCGAGAUCCGAGAGAGAGAGAAGGGUGACUGAACUCCUUCUAGCAGUUCGUCCCCCCCAGCCAAGAACAGACCCUUGCGAGGCUAUUCUUCCUUGUAUUGUUCAUCAUCAUCAGCCCAAGAGGCAAUCCACCACACCACACACUGGAGUAGGGUAUUUCACCACAAUGGUGACCCGAACCAGUAUAAACCCUGUGUCUCUUGUGUCGUUCUUUCCAUAGCUUAGAUCUUAGCGAGGCGGAGGGGUGCAGGUAGGUAGGAGGCGAAAUCUCCGUGCGCACCCUAGUGUUCAAACCUCAAGGGUCUGCCGGAACCCGAAAUCCGACACCCACUUUCCUCAGUAUCACAACCUGAUGCGACAUUGGCAGCGCAAUCAGUCGGAGGAGGCCAGCGGUGGCGAUGACGGCUCUGCGAUGGGGAACGGUCGCUCGUCGUCGCAGCACCAGCAAUUCCAGGAUCGCAUAAUACCCGCAUGUUGAUGACCUCCAGGAGUCUCCGGCCUCCUCCCUCCAGGUACCUCUCCAAACCCUAACCGUCUCUGAGGUUCACAGUUUAUUACUAUACUACUAUUGUUUAAUUAGAUGGUAACAUAAAACUUUGAGUGUCUUAUAGGAGUUCUUAUUCACGGUUUGAGAUGCUAACUGGGUUCUCUCUGUCUCUCACAAGUUUGUCCUUGUGUUAUCUCUUUAUUCAGGGUACUCCCUCCAUUUCUGAAUAUAAUACCUUUUAUAGAUUCCACUACAGACUGCACACAUAACAAAAUGAGUAAAUCUACACUCUAAAGUACGUCUAUAUACAUCCCUAUGUAGUUCACGAUGGAAUCUCUAAAAGGUCUUAUAUUUAGGAACGGAGGGAGUAAAAAAUGCCUAGAAUAAAGAAAUGAUGAAUUGUAUUGUACUCAUUAUUGUAGUUAAAGAUUAUGUUUAAAAUCGAUCAUCACUUGGGAUGGUGCCAACUUGCAGGGUCGAUGAGACAUUAAAUUGCCAUAUUGCUUUUCCCUCUUCUUCACGUGUUAGGAAUAUAUCUUUAACAAUAGAAUUUAAUAUUUGUGGUUUCACAUGCAGGAAGAGACAAGAACGUAUCAAUCACCAGUGAAGGAGUCAUGUGAUUGUUGUCGUCAUGAUAAAUGUUGGUGUAGUGUAAAAUUCCUGAGCUAGACAUUAUGGUACAAUAUUAAUUUUAGGAUUGUUGCCAAUCAUACCCGUCUGUAGCUAUAUCACAUUGCAAAAUUCCAUGAACAUUUGGUUCACAUUAUUUCUCUGUUAUAUUGUUCCUGCCCAAGCAUGGAUGCAGGUGGACGUGGGCGCCGCGACUGCCACCAAGGAUGUAGGGGUCACUCUACAACCGGCAAGGACACGGUAGGCGCGCCAACCGCACUAUAGCCUUACAGUUUUCCUAAUUUCUAUAGGUAUGCGAGGUCAAUUUAAUAUUCACAUAUAUGCUGAAAUUUUGACUUCGAAGGACCAUCACUGAAGUUAUAUGCUGAAAUUUUGACUUUGAAAACCAGCACUAAAGUUAUAUGAAGUUUCUUGCAAGAGCUAUAUCAUUCUUUUUAGUACUACUGAUUAAUUCCCAUGAGUACCAAUGGUGAGAUUUUCAGGCAUAAAUACUGGAUGUGAUUCUCAUUGCUGGCAAUCUUCAUGAACCUAUCAAGGAGAACAUUGCAAUACUAAUUGUUGCACAAGUGUUCUCAACACCGGCUAGCAAUAAGAGAGAAUGAUAGUUUAAUGCUCACUGUUGUAAGCUUGAUCCAAGAGGAGCUUCUCAAUGUUCGACAUGUAGGCUGCGAGGAACAGAAAUAAUACCUAUUUGUUCACUCUUUUCCUGUACCUAUGAAUCAUCUGCCACUGUUCAGUAGAGUUAAGUUAUGUGCUUCAAUAUUAGGAAGUCAUCAUCUUCUAAAACAUACUGUUGCCUACUCAAACAUAUUUUGUUCCUUUUUGUUUCCAACAGAUUAUGUAUAAAAACACAUGUACAAUAAGCGUCAGAAUCUGCAUUGGACCGUCCUCAUAUGCUCUGUCCAUUUUUUCCAAAGAAAUAACACUUCUACAGUCCUACGCAUUCGGAGAUACGAUUUAGUGUGCUAUUACAAUCCUCGUAAUCGCACGCUAUAUUUUCUGUGGGAAUUUCUGUCAUCCAUUCUGUUUUGAGGUAAAUAUAUCAGUUAAUUUUUUUUUGUUCUAGCAAGGUACCAGAUACAUGUUAUGAAAUUCUCCUUUGCCUCUUCCAGGUCAACCACAUAGGCAGGAGGGAAUUCAUUUAUCAAUAAAAAUAAAUUUGUCUGAGGGGAUGUUAUCUUAUCUCUCCAGCAUAACCAAAUGAACACUAUGAUGAACUUAACAUCCCUCUGUCAUUAUUUCUCUAAGAUGCAAGCGAUAUAAAAUUAAAAAAGCCCGUCGGUGAGCACGAAAUGUAUUGCUCUGUCCAUCGGUGAGCACGAAAUGUAAACAUCCUUCUAAAUAACAUGUUAGCUAUCUUGAGGCUGGAAAUGCAAGCAUCCUUCUAAAUAAGCUAUUAGCUGUCUUCGGGAUGGAAAUGCAAGCAUCAAAUCUUGAUAUAAUUAAUAAUGAAACAUAAGCAGCAGCAUAGAUUUUGCUAUUUCUAUUGAUGUUGAAAUUGAUAAUAGUUAUUUUUAGAAAAGUAUAUGUGAAAGGAUAACACGAUAUAUACCAUUUUGCAUAUCAGACAGCAAAAACGCCAUGGUGGUCGCCCUCGGCUACGAUUGUGUGCAUUCCUUGCACUGGGAAUCGGCAUUGGACAACGUAGAGGGGUGAGGAGGGAGGACGAUGCCAUGGUCGGGAAGUGUGAUAGCACUGAGAGGAAGGUGUGGGCUGAACACCGUGGCGGGGAGAGAUGACAACAACAUCAACGAGGAGAGCAGGUCGGGGAAAUGAGAUGUGAGUGUGAGUGUUGUGCACUCACUUUUAUAUCACUUGUUUAUAAUUAAUCUCCAGAAAUGACUUGUUUAAAGUAUCUAAUAUUUUUCACUAUAUAAAAGUAUGUGACAUUUCUCUCAUAGCAAACAAAUGCCUGAAGGAAAUAUGCCCUAGAGGCAAUAAUAAAGUUAUUAUUUAUUUCCUUAUAUCAUGAUAAAUAUUUAUUAUUCAGGCUAGAAUUGUAUUAACCGGAAACAUAAUACAUGUGUGAAUACAUAGACAAACAGAGUGUUAAUCAGAGAUGGUUAUGUUUCCUAACCAUAAACAAAGAGUUGUUAUUUGAUUAACGGGAUCACAUCAUUAGGUGAAUGAUCUGAUUGACAUGACCCAUUCCAUUAGCUUAGCACCCGAUCGUUUAGUAUGUUGCUAUUGCUUUCUUCAUGACUUAUACAUGUUCCUAUGACUAUGAGAUUAUGCAACUCCCGUUUGCCGGAGGAACACUUUGUGUGCUACCAAACGUCACAACGUAAAUGGGGAUUAUAAAGGUGCUCUACAGGUGUCUCCAAAGGUACAUGUUGGGUUGGCGUAUUUCGAGAUUAGGAUUUGUCACUCCGAUUGUCGGAGAGGUAUCUCUGGGCCCUCUCGGUAAUACACAUCACAUAAGCCUUGCAAGCAUUGCAACUAAUGAGUUAGUUGUGAGAUGAUGUAUUAUGGAACGAGUAAAGAGACUUGCCGGUAACGAGAUUGAACUAGGUAUGGGAUACCGACGAUCGAAUCUCGGGCAAGUAACAUACCGAUGACAAAGGGAACAACGUAUGUUGUUAUGCGGUCUGACCGAUAAAAGAUCUUCGUAGAAUAUGUAGGAGCCAAUAUGAGCAUCCAGGUUCCGCUAUUGGUUAUUGACCAGAGACGUAUCUCGGUCAUGUCUACAUUGUUCUCGAACCCGUAGGGUCCGCACGCUUAAGGUUUCGAUGACAGUUAUAUUAUGAGUUUAUGAGUUUUGAUGUACCAAAGUUAGUUCGGAGUCCCGGAUGUGAUCACAGACAUGACGAGGAGUCUCGAAAUGGUCGAGACAUAAAGAUUGAUAUAUUGGACGGCUAUAUUCGGACACCGGAAGUGUUCCGGGUGAUUUCGAAGAAAAACGGAGAGCCGGAGGGUUACCGGGACCCCCCCGGGAGAAGUAAUGGGCCAUAUGGGCCUUAGUGGAGAGAGAGAAGGGCAGCCAUAGGUGGGCCGCGCGCCUCCUCCCCCCUUGGUCCGAAUUGGACUAGGAGAGGGAGGCGGCGCCCCCCUUUCCCUCUCCCUCCCCACUUCUUUCCUCCUCCUAGUAGGAGUCCUACUCCUACUAGGAGGAGGACUCCUCCUUGGCGCGCCAUAGAGGGCCGGCCGGCCUCCUCCCCUUGAUCCUUUAUAUACGGGGGCAGAGGGCACCCCUUGAGACACAAGUUGAUCCACGUGAUCAUAUUCUUAGCCGUGUGCGGUGCCCCCUUCCACCAUAGUCCUCGAUAAUAUUGUAGCGGUGCUUAGGCGAAGCCCUGCGACAGUAGUACAUCAAGAUCGUCACCAUGUCGUCGUGCUGACGGAACUCUUCCCCGACACUUUGCUGGAUCGGAGUCCGGGGAUCGUCAUCGAGCUGAACGUGUGCUAGAACUCGAAGGUGUCGUAGUUUCGGUGCUUGAUCGGUCGGGCCGUGAAGACGUACGACUACAUCAACCAAGUUAACGCUUCCAUUGUCGAUCUACAAGGGUACGUAGAUCACACUCUCCCCCUCUCGUUGCUAUGCAUCACCAUGAUCUUGCGUGUGCGUAGGAAUUUUUUUGAAAUUACUACGAAACCCAACAGUGGCAUCCGAGCCUAGGUUUUAUAUGUUGAUGUUAUAUGCACGAGUAGAACACAAGUGAGUUGUGGGCGAUAUAAGUCAUACUGCUUACCAGCAUGUCAUACUUUGGUUCGGCGGUAUUGUUGGACGAAGCGGCCCAGACCGACAUUACGCGUACGCUUACGCGAGACCGGUUCUCCCGACGUGCUUUGCACAUUGGUGGCUUGCGGGUGACAGUUUCUCCAACUUUAGUUGAACCGAGUGUGGCUACGCCCGGUCCUUGCGAAGGUGAAAACAGCACCAACUUGACAAACUAUCGUUGUGGUUUUGAUGCGUAGGUAAGAUUGGUUCUUGCUUAAGCUCGUAGCAGCCACGUAGAACUUGCAACAACAAAGUAGAGGACGUCUAACUUGUUUUUGCAGGGCAUGUUGUGAUGUGAUAUGGUCAAGACAUGAUGCUAAAUUUUAUUGUAUGAGAAGAUCAUGUUUUGUAACCGAGUUAUCGGCAACUGGCAGGAGCCAUAUGGUUGUCGCUUUAUUGUAUGCAAUGCAAUCGCGCUGUAAUGCUUUACUUUAUCACUAAGCGGUAGCGAUGGUCGUGGAAGCAUAAGAUUGGCGAGACGACAAUGAUGCUACGAUGGAGAUCAAGGUGUCGCGCCGGUGACGUUGGUGAUCACGACGGUGCUUCGAAGAUGGAGAUCACAAGCACAAGAUGAUGAUGGCCAUAUCAUAUCACUUAUAUUGAUUCCAUGUGAUGUUUAUCUUUUAUGCAUCUUAUCUUGCUUUGAUUGACGGUAGCAUUAUAAGAUGAUCUCUCACUAAUUAUCAACAAGUGUUCUCCCUGAGUAUGCACCAUUGCGAAAGUUCUUCGUGCUGAGACACCACGUGAUGAUCGGGUGUGAUAGGCUCUACAUUCAAAUACAACGGGUGCAAAACAGUUGCACACGCGGAAUACUCAGGUUAUACUUGACGAGCCAAGCAUAUACAGAUAUGGCCUCGGAACACGAAGACCGAAAGGUCGAGCGUGAAUCAUAUAGUAGAUAUGAUCAACAUAGUGAUGUUCACCAAUGAAACUACUCCAUCUCACGUGAUGAUCGGACAUGGUUUAGUUGAUUUGGAUCACGUAAUCACUUAGAGGAUUAGAGGGAUGUCUAUCUAAGUGGGAGUUCUUUAAGUAAAUUAAUUGAACCUAAAUUUAUCAUGAAACUUAGUACCUGAUAGUAUCUUGCUUGUUUAUGCUUGAUUGUAGAUAGAUGGCUCGUGCUGUUGUUCCGUUGAAUUUUAAUGCGUUCCUUGAGAAAGCAAAGUUGAAAGAUGAUGGUAGCAAUUACACGGACUGGGUCCGUAACUUGAGGAUUAUCCUCAUUGCUGCACAGAAGAAUUACAUCCUGGAAGCACCGCUGGGUGCCAGGCCUUCUACUAGAGCAACACCAGAUGUUAUGAACGUCUGGCAAAGCAAAGCUGAUGACUACUUGAUAGUUCAGUGUGCCAUGCUUUACGGGUUAGAAUCGGGAGUUCAACGACGUUUUGAACGUCAUGGAGCAUAUGAGAUGUUCCAGGAGUUGAAGUUAAUAUUUCAAACAAAUGCCCGGAUUGAGAGAUAUGAAGUCUCCAAUAAGUUCUAUAGCUGCAAGAUGAAGGAGAACAGUUCUAUCAGUGAGCAUAUACUCAAAAUGUCUGGGUAUAAUAAUCACUUGAUUCAAUUGGGAGUUAAUCUUCCAGAUGAUUGCGUCAUUGACAGAAUUCUCCAAUCACUGACACCAAGCUACAAGAGCUUCGUGAUGAACUAUAAUAUGCAAGGGAUGAAUAAGACUAUUCCUGAGCUCUUCACAAUGCUGAAAGCUGCGGAGGUAGAAAUCAAGAAGGAGCAUCAAGUGUUGAUGGUCAACAAGACCACUAGUUUCAAGAAAAAGGGCAAAGGGAAGAAGAAGGGGAACUUCAAAAAGAACAGCAAGCAAGUUGCUACUCAAGAGAAGAAACCCAAACCUGGACCUAAGCCUGAAACUAAGUGCUUGUACUGCAAGCAGACUGGUCACUGGAAGCGGAACUGCCCCAAGUAUUUGGCGGAUAAGAAGGAUGGCAAGGUGAACAAAGGUAUAUGUGAUAUACAUGUUAUUGAUGUGUACCUUACUAAUGCUCGCAGUAGCACCUGGGUAUUUGAUACUGGUUCUAUUGCUAAUAUUUACAACUCGAAACAAGGACUACGGAUUAAGCGAAGAUUGGCUAAGGACGAGGUGACGAUGCGCGUGGGAAACGGUUCCAAAGUCGAUGUGAUCGCAGUCGGCACACUACCUCUACAUCUACCUUCGGAAUUAAUAUUAGACCUAAAUAAUUGUUAUUUGGUGCCAGCGUUAAGCAUGAACAUUAUAUCUGGAUCUUGUUUGAUGCGAGACGGUUAUUCAUUUAAAUCUGAGAAUAAUGGUUGUUCUAUUUAUAUGAGUAAUAUCUUUUAUGGUCAUGCACCCUUAAAGAGUGGUCUAUUUUUAUUGAAUCUCGAUAGUAGUGACACACAUAUUCAUAGUGUUGAAGCCAAAAGAUGCAGAGUUGAUAAUGAUAGUGCAACUUAUUUGUGGCACUGCCGUUUAGGUCAUAUCGGUGUAAAGCGCAUGAAGAAACUCCAUACUAAUGGACUUUUGGAACCACUUGAUUAUGAAUCACUUGGUACUUGCAAACCGUGCCUCAUGGGCAAGAUGACUAAAACACCGUUCUCCGGUACUAUGGAGAGAGCAACAGAUUUGUUGGAAAUCAUACAUACAGAUGUAUGUGGUCCGAUGAAUAUUGAGGCUCGUGGCGGAUAUCGUUAUUUUCUCACCUUCACAGAUGACUUAAGCAGAUAUGGGUAUAUCUACUUAAUGAAACAUAAGUCUGAAACGUUUGAAAAGUUCAAAGAAUUUCAGAGUGAAGUUGAAAAUCAUCGUAACAAGAAAAUAAAGUUUCUACGAUCUGAUCGUGGAGGAGAAUAUUUGAGUUACGAGUUUGGUGUACAUUUGAAAAAUUGUGGAAUAGUUUCGCAACUCACGCCACCCGGAACACCACAGCGUAAUGGUGUGUCCGAACGUCGUAAUCGUACUUUACUAGAUAUGGUGCGAUCUAUGAUGUCUCUUACUGAUUUACCGCUAUCGUUUUGGGGAGACGCUCUAGAGACGGCCGCAUUCACGUUAAAUAGGGCACCAUCAAAAUCCAUUGAGACGACGCCUUAUGAACUGUGGUUUGGCAAGAAACCAAAGUUGUCGUUUCUGAAAGUUUGGGGCUGCAAUGCUUAUGUGAAAAAGCUUCAGCCUGAUAAGCUCGAACCCAAAUCGGAGAAAUGUGUCUUCAUAGGAUAUCCAAAGGAAACUAUUGGAUACACCUUCUAUCACAGAUCUGAAGGCAAGACUUUUGUUACUAAGUUCGAAAACUUUCUGGAGAAGGAGUUUCUCUCAAAAGAAGUGAGUGGGAGGAAAAGUAGAACUUGACGAGGUAACUGUACCUCCUCCCUUAUUGGAAAGUAGUGCAUCACAGAAAACUGUUUCAGUGACACCUACACCAAUUAGUGAGGAAGCUAAUGAUGAUGAUCAUGAAACUUCAGAACAAGAUACUACUGAACCUCGUAGAUCAACCAGAGUGAGAUCCGCGCUAGAGUGGUACGGUAAUCCUAUUCUGGAAGUCAUGCUACUAGAUCAUGAUGAACCUACAAACUAUGAAGAAGCGAUGGUGAGCCCAGAUUCCGCAAAAUGGCUUGAAGCCAUGAAAUCUGAGAUGGGAUCCAUGUAUGAGAACAAAGUAUGGACUUUGGUUGACUUGCCCGAUGAUCGGCAAGCAAUUGAGAAUAAAUGGAUCUUCAAGAAGAAGACUGACGCUGACGGUAAUAUUACUGUCUACAAAGCUUGACUUGUCGCAAAAGGUUUUAGGCAAGUUCAAGGGAUUGACUACGAUGAGACCUUCUCACCCGUAGCGAUGCUUAAGUCUGUCCGAAUCAUGUUAGCAAUUGCCGCAUUUUAUGAUUAUGAAAUUUGGCAGAUGGAUGUCAAAACUGCAUUCCUGAAUGGAUUUCUGGAAGAAGAGUUGUAUAUGAUGCAACCAGAAGGUUUUGUUGAUCCAAAGGGAGCUAACAAAGUGUGCAAGCUCCAGCGAUCCAUUUAUGGACUGGUGCAAGCUUCUCGGAGUUGGAAUAAACGCUUUGAUAGUGUGAUCAAAGCAUUUGGUUUUAUACAAACUUUUGGAGAAGCCUGUAUUUAUAAGAAAGUGAGUGGGAGCUCUGUAGCAUUUCUGAUAUUAUAUGUGGAUGACAUAUUACUAAUUGGAAAUGAUAUAGAAUUUCUGGAUAGCAUAAAGGGAUACUUGAAUAAAAGUUUUUCAAUGAAAGACCUCGGUGAAGCUGCUUACAUAUUAGGCAUUAAGAUCUAUAGAGAUAGAUCAAGACGCUUAAUUGGACUUUCGCAAAGCACAUACCUUGACAAAGUUUUGAAGAAAUUCAAAAAUGGAUCAAGCAAAGAAAGGGUUCUUGCCUGUGUUGCAAGGUGUGAAGUUGAGUAAGACUCAAUGCCCGACCACUGCAGAAGAUAGAGAGAAAAUGAAAGAUGUUCCCUAUGCUUCAGCCAUAGGCUCUAUCAUGUAUGCAAUGCUGUGUACCAGACCUGAUGUGUGCCUUGCUAUAAGUCUAGAAGGGAGGUACCAAAGUGAUCCAGGAGUGGAUCACUGGACAGCGGUCAAGAACAUCCUGAAAUAGCUAAAAAGGACUAAGGAUAUGUUUCUCAUAUAUGGAGGUGACAAAAAGCUCAUCGUAAAAGGUUACGUUGAUGCAAGCUUUGACACUGAUCUGGACGAUUCUAAAUCACAAACCGGAUAUGUGUUUACAUUAAACGGUGGAGCUGUCAGUUGGUGCAGUUCUAAACAAAGCGUUGUAGCGGGAUCUACAUGUGAAGCGGAGUACAUAGCUGCUUCGGAAGCAGCAAAUGAAGGAGUCUGGAUGAAGGAGUUCAUAUCCGAUCUAGGUGUCAUACCUAGUGCAUCGGGUCCAAUGAAAAUCUUUUGUGACAAUACUGGUGCAAUUGCCUUGGCAAAGGAAUCCAGAUUUCACAAGAGAACCAAGCACAUAAAGAGACGCUUCAAUUCCAUCCGGGAUCUAGUCUAGGUGGGAGACAUAGAGAUUUGCAAGAUACAUACGGAUCUGAAUGUUGCAGACCCUUGACUAAGCCUCUUCCACGAGCAAAACAUGAUCAGCACCAAGGCUCCAUGGGUGUUAGAAUCAUUACUGUGUAAUCUAGAUUAUUGACUCUAGUGCAAGUGGGAGACUGAAGGAAAUAUGCCCUAGAGGCAAUAAUAAAGUUAUUAUUUAUUUCCUUAUAUCAUGAUAAAUGUUUAUUAUUCAUGCUAGAAUUGUAUUAACCGGAAAUAUAAUACAUGUGUGAAUACAUAGACAAACAGAGUGUCACUAGUAUGCCUCUACUUGACUAGCUCGUUAAUCAAAGAUGGUUAUGUUUCCUAACCAUAAACAAAGAGUUGUUAUUUGAUUAACAGGAUCACAUCAUUAGGUGAAUGAUCUGAUUGACAUGACCCAUUCCAUUAGCUUAGCACCCGAUCGUUUAGUAUGUUGCUAUUGCUUUCUUCAUGACUUAUACAUGUUCCUAUGACUAUGAGAUUAUGCAACUCCCGUUUGCCGGAGGAACAUUUUGUGUGCUACCAAAUGUCACAACGUAAAUGGGUGAUUAUAAAGGUGCUCUACAGGUGUCUCCAAAGGUACAUGUUGGGUUGGCGUAUUUUGAGAUUAGGAUUUGUCACUCUGAUUGUGGGAGAGGUAUCUCUAGGCCCUCUCGGUAAUACACAUCACAUAAGCCUUGCAAGCAUUGCAACUAAUGAGUUAGUUGUGAGAUGAUGUAUUACGGAACGAGUAAAGAGACUUGCCGGUAACGAGAUUGAACUAGGUAUGGGAUACCGACGAUCGAAUCUCGGGCAAGUAACAUACCGAUGACAAAGGGAACAACGUAUGUUGUUAUGCGGUCUGACCGAUAAAAGAUCUUCGUAGAAUAUGUAGGAGCCAAUAUGAGCAUCCAGGUUCCGCUAUUGGUUAUUGACUAGAGACGUAUCUCGGUCAUGUCUACAUUGUUCUCGAACCCGUAGGGUCCGCACGCUUAAGGUUUCGAUGACAGUUAUAUUAUGAGUUUAUGAGUUUUGAUGUACCGAAGUUAGUUCGGAGUCUCGGAUGUGAUCACGGACAUGACGAGGAGUCUCGAAAUGGUCGAGACAUAAAGAUUGAUAUAUUGGACGGCUAUAUUCGGACACCGGAAGUGUUCUGGGUGAUUUCGGAGAAAACCGGAGAGCCGGAGGGUUACCGGACCCCCCCGGGAGAAGUAAUGGGCCAUACGGGCCUUAGUGGAGAGAGAGAAGGGCAGCCAUAGGUGGGCCGCGCGCCUCCUCCCCCCUUGGUCCGAAUUGGACUAGGAGAGGGGGGCGGCGCCCCCCUUUCCCUCUCCCUCCCCACUUCUUUCCUCCUCCUAGUAGGAGUCCUACUCCUACUAGGAGGAGGACUCCUCCUUGGCACGCCAUAGAGGGCCGGCCGGCCUCCUCCCCUUGAUCCUUUAUAUACGGGGGUAGAGGGCACCCCUUGAGACACAAGUUGAUCCACGUGAUCAUAUUCUUAGCCGUGUGCGGUGCCCCCUUCCACCAUAGUCCUCGAUAAUAUUGUAGCGGUGCUUAGGCGUAGCCCUGCGACAGUAGUACAUCAAGAUCGUCACCACGCCGUCGUGCUGACGGAACUCUUCCCCGACACUUUGCUGGAUCGGAGUCCGAGGAUCGUCAUCGAACUGAACGUGUGCUAGAACUCGAAGGUGCCGUAGUUUCGGUGCUUGAUCGGUCGGGCCAUGAAGACGUACGACUACAUCAACCAAGUUAGCGCUUCCGUUGUCGAUCUACAAGGGUACGUAGAUCACACUCUCCCCCUCUCGUUGUUAUGCAUCAUCAUGAUCUUGCGUGUGCGUAGGAAUUUUUUUGAAAUUAUUACGAAACCCAACAAUGCCCCCCCAUAAAAAAAGGAAAAUGUCACUCCUUUUCUUUUUAUUUGAAAAACAGUUAAUUCACGCUCUCAUUCUCUCACUACAUGGCAUAGCUUAUUCAAAUUGAAAUGCGACUCACUCUACUAAAAAUGACAAUGCCACUCACUUCGACUAAAAACGGUCACCUACUCACGUUUAGCAUCUGACCAUUGAAUAUAUAUUGUAUAUCAGUUUUUUUAUUUUAAUAUUUUUAUAUGUUUACUUUUGUUAAUCAUAGAUCAAAAUUGAUGGCUUCCCAUGAUGCUUUGAAAACAAAUGGCUUUUGAUUGACAAAGCUUUAUGAUGGACCCAGCAGAAAAUCACCUGGAUUUACACAAUCAGAACAGGUGCAUACAAAUAAUUAUUCUUUAUAUAUUUAUUAUGCAUGAUAAUACAAAAGGUGUUUAUAUUUUUUUUGUGCAUGAUAUUUAUUUAUUUAUUUUGCGGAAUAUGAAAGAGAUGAAAAUGGAUUAUGUCAACGUUCAAAAAGAAUCCAUCCAUAAGUAUGUUGAGGCGAUAUCGUUGGAAGGGCUAAAAAUUCACUGUGAUUUAUAUACAGCAAAAGGCCCGUGGCAACGCACGGGCAUUCUACUAGUCUCCCCAGAUAUACCAAAGCACUUCUGAUUUAUCCCUAGAUUUGGGACACAUGCACGUUAUUGNNNNNNNNNNNNNNNNNNNNNNNNNNNNNNNNNNNNNNNNNNNNNNNNNNNNNNNNNNNNNNNNNNNNNNNNNNNNNNNNNNNNNNNNNNNNNNNNNNNNNNNNNNNNNNNNNNNNNNNNNNNNNNNNNNNNNNNNNNNNNNNNNNNNNNNNNNNNNNNNNNNNNNNNNNNNNNNNNNNNNNNNNNNNNNNNNNNNNNNNNNNNNNNNNNNNNNNNNNNNNNNNNNNNNNNNNNNNNNNNNNNNNNNNNNNNNNNNNNNNNNNNNNNNNNNNNNNNNNNNNNNNNNNNNNNNNNNNNNNNNNNNNNNNNNNNNNNNNNNNNNNNNNNNNNNNNNNNNNNNNNNNNNNNNNNNNNNNGGGAGGAUGCAUUUAGACCAUAAGACGAGUGUGGUAUAUAACGACCUUUUAUUUGUGGGGGCACACAACGAAUUUACAUCGUGAUAUUAAUUAUACGUGUGUCGUGUAUAUCCCAUUUUAUGUGCUUGCAUUAAGAAUUAUUGUAUUAAUUAUUUGCAUUUUAUUAAGAUAAUUACCUGCCUAUAAAAAAACAGACGUUUCAACUUAUGAGAGUCUAUCACCGAGCUCUUGCACCUUGACACCAUUGAAGCUGACGACAAGUUUUUUGCACCUCAGCACCAAUCGCUAAGUUGUUGCCCCAUUAAGGCCACCUCACAUGUUUGUCAGGUGAUCUUUAAAAAAGACAUGUUUGUCCGGUGUAGUCGAAGAUUUAAAUCGAAGACAUAUCAAUACUCCCUCUGUUUGGGUGCAUUGGACGCUCUAUCAAAACUAGGCAUUUAAUUUUAUUAGUCGCCAUCAUUCAUUAGGGUAGAGUGGUAAUUAACUUCGUGAGCCAAAUAUGCGAACAGGACAGUAAAGGCAUGUACAAUGGUUGAUAAGAUAGUCUUAUCUUAAGUUUUGCAUGUAAUUUAUAGAUGACAAAAAAAAUGUCUACAAUGGGUCAUCUCUUAGUCUUAUCUUCAAUAACUAGCAAUUCCUAAAAAUGUGGUGAGACAUAUUGUGUUAAGAGAUCAUCUCUUGCCUUAUCUUAAAUAAGAGAAGACAAGCCUUCUCUUAUGAGUUAUCUCUCCUCCAUCUCAUCAUUUAUCUCAUCAUUCUUUUUUUUUGCGGGUGAUGCGCUAAUUAAUUUCACCGAGUCUUGGUGGUGUCGUCGAGACUAAUACGUCCAAUGUACCUAGACGGAGGGAGUACAACACCACCAUCAACGAGUCACUCUCUAUUUUCACAAAUAAGGCACGCGUCCAUUUCAAAAUUUUAACUUUGAUCAUCGAAUUAACCAACCAAACCUAGGUUGACAAAAGAUUUUUUCCAUGUCAACCAUUUUUCUAAACAAGAUCGCUAAUUAAGAAAAAGAAAAGAAAAGGUCGGAUCCGGUCUCGCCUUCUCGCCCCUUCCUCUCUGGCCGGUCUGCCUGCCGUCCCCAACAUUUCGCCGAGCGACCAAAAACUACUACCCAACCCGAGAGAGAAAGGCCCUCCUCGUCGUCCUCGGCUCCACCAAUCACUCUCGCGUCAGAGAAAAAAGAGAGGGGCGCACAUCUCCGUCUCCGCCCUCCCCUCCCCGUCCCCCUCUCCCUCCGCUCCCGAUCCGCUCUGCGUCGCGGCCGCAGCGGCGACGACCCCCCCAUGAUCUGACCGCAUUGCCGCGCGCGGUAACCCGAUGGAGGCGCUGAACGAGCUCUGCGACCUGGUGGCCGCGCACCCGGAUCUCCUCCUCGCCGACAAGCUCACCUGGCUCACCUCCCGCUGCGCGCCGCCCGCGUCCCCCGCGUCCCCCGCGCAGCGCGCGACCCGGGCGCACCUCCACUCGCUCCUCGCCCUCGCGCGCCUCCUCCCCGCGGGCGCCGGCCCGCCGGCGGCCCCGCUCCUCGCCUUCCUCGCCUCCCGCGCCUUCCUCGCGCCGGCCUUCUGGCCGCAGUCCUUCGCGCCCGCGCCCUUCCUCGCCAAGCUCCUCCCUCUCCUCGCCGCCGCGCCCGCCUCCCCCGCCCUCUCCUCCGCGCUCUCCGCCGCGCUCCUCGCCGCGCUCGACGCCGCCGACCCCGCCUCCGCGCCGCUCGCCCGGGCCUUCCUCUCCGCCGCGGCCGCCAAGCCCCCGCAGCUCCUCCCCGCCGACACCGCGCCCGUCGCCCAGCGCCUCUUCCUCGAGUUCCCUGGCUCCGACGAGGCCCCGCCCAGGGCCAAGGGGAAGGGGGAGGACGCGGCGGGGGAGCAGAAUGGAGGGAUCAAGGAGGCGGUGCAGAGGUUCGAGGGGGAGCAGAUCGAGGCCCUCGAGCGCAAGGAGGUCGCCUUCAGGCUCAUCGUUCAGAUGCUCGGGGGCGAGGGCGGGCUGGAGGCCAACAAGGUUGCCAAGGUCAGGAAUGCUGCCGCAUGGCAGGUCCGUUCGCUCACGGAUUUUCUCAAGGUGAGCCGGUGUCUUCUCUUCUCUCCCUUCAUCUGUAUAUCGCCUGUCGGUGUCUGCAUUCGCAUUUGCGCGUGUACAUGGUUGAGCUAGAUGUUUGCUUGCGGUCUGAUCAUGCUUGAGGUGAUGGCUGGCAGAUUAGGAAGCGGGACUGGAAGGAGCAGGGUGCACAACUGAGGGUGAGGAUAAACACCAAAUUAUCGUGUUGCCAAGCUGCGGUGGUGGUUCUGGUCCGGAGUGUCUCGGUCUUGGACGCUGACAGCAAAGCAUCCAAGGACAUGCUUCAGCAGACUCUUGCUUGGUUCAUCGAAGCCACCAAGUCGUGCAUCCUCUCAUCCUGGCGAAAACUCAAGAUUUGUGAGGAGCUCUUUUGCACUCUGCUCAAUGGGAUCAGCCAGAUAACAGUCUCGCGUGGGGGCCAGCUCCUGCCGGUUCUGCUGAUUCCCUUGAAACCGCUUGUUGUCAGCACAUGUUCGCAGGUAUGUUGGUCUCAUGCUUCUCUUGUUUGGACUACUGGUUUUUUUUAUGGAGGUGUUGCCUAAUGUGAAAUCAAUCAUUCCCUUGCAGGCUGACAUGACGGGCUGUAGCCCUGGUGCUUUGUUCGAGGCAGUGGUGAAGUUGAGCUGUGAGAUCAUAGAGUUUGGCUGGACAAAGGAUAGGGCUCUAGUUGACACAUUCAUUAUGCGUUUAGCUGCAUAUGUUCGUGAACGGAAUGAUUAUGAGGAAGAGGUAUUCUUCUUAAUUUUUGUCACCACAUGAAAAUUCCAUGCCCUAGUAAGGUUUCCUGCAACCCUUAGGGCAUAGUUGCACAAGCCAACCUUACUUGAUGUCACUUUGCGCAAGAUGCUUAAAAUUGUUGUCAAUCAGCAUGUGUCAGUCACAUAAAAUGCUUGGUUAUAGACAAGUUACCAUGCCAGCACAUUGAAGAACCGAGAACUGAAAAGCGAUGUUUUCUGAACUUAUCACCUCAGCAAACAGCUAGAAGGUCAUGCAUUUGGUGCUCUCAGUCCGCCUAAAAUCUUCAAAAAUUUCAAGAUACUACGAUGCAUCAUUUGUACAGUUAUAACUGUGUUUACUUUUUCUGUAUUUGGGUUAGACUAGACAAUAUUGAUGCUAUCUUCUUUCCUACGAGGCCAUAAACUUCUUUAUGUUGUGGUAGACUCAUGACCUGUGAGUUUUCAAUUAAUCUUUCCAUGUGCUCUAUACCAGUCCAAAAAUUAGUACUCCCUCCGUCCGAAAAUACUUGUCCUCCAAAUGGUUGUAUCUGGACUUAUUUUAGUUAUAGAUACAUCCAUUUUAUCCAUUUCGAGGACAAGUAUUUCCGGACGGAGGGAGUAUUGUUUCUUUACAUUUAUUACAUAGCGUGUUGUCCAUAUUUUUUUUCAUUUUGACUGCCAAUAUUCAUGGUUGUAUGGUAGUAAAAAUAAUAACAGAUUUAUUAUUAGGAAAGUGAUUUUAAUCACGAACAUUCUGGUGACUGGUGUCAUUUUCCUGUGGAAAGUUGUCAAUCUAGAUAUUAAUAUAUAUGGCACUGGUCAUGUUAAAGAAGCUUUUACCUGUAACUCUUCUUUCUGAACUGGAGGGGAUAAUACUAAUAUGCCUACCAGAUAAACUUUUAUUCUGAUAACCUGGAUUCUCCUCAUUCACUAAGAUGAAAGAUAACGAGAAGGCAAUAUCAGUCAUAAGUUUGCAUGGCUUUCAUAAAACAUGAGUAUCCAGCUAGUAUUCUGUUUGCGGUAAAACUCCAAUCACUUAUGUUUUUUUUUCCUUUUUCUUCUUACAAAUUUAGGCUCAUGGGUGUUUUAGUGCUGUAAGCAAAGAAAUAGAUAGUCAUAUAGCCUUCUGCUAAUUUAAUCCAACCACAGAAAUCUGGAAGCACCCACCCUUAAUUUAUUUCAACCUAGUAAUAGUAUGCUGCAUUAUUUGGGUGCAUGGAGAAAGUUGCAGCGUCAUCACCUGAUGUGCUGGUAGGUUAUAUAUCAAGACAAUAUUCCCCAUGGUAUCAGAAUAAUUUCCAGCAGCAAGCAGAACAAGCUACAUGAUCUUUGUUUUGAUUUUCUAGUUGAGUCUUUUGCGAUGGAUCUAGCACAUUUUGGAAUAUCUCUUCUACCAGAGUCGCAGAUACAUGAUAUGGCAGAUUACAAGCACCAUAAUUCUGCCCGUUGCUUUGUUUUACUGUUGAGGGUGGGUCAUUCUGAAAUUUAAAUUCUUGGAACUUGGAAAAUGUGUUCUAUACAAAAAUUAAGCUUCCCUGCUGCCGUCAGUCUUCCUUUAUGGGACUUACACUGGCUAACUGUAGCGACUAAAGAUAUGCAUCACGGUAGCAUGAUUAACUGUCAAUGGCUGGUUGUUUACUGAGGCGUGAAUCUAUUGCAGGAUGGUAAAGGAAAAGACACAGUUCCGGUGAUGCGACUUAAUGUAGUACGCCUUCUGGCUGAGUUGUGUGUAUGCUUGAAAAGAUGGGAAGUUGUAGACAUGAUCUUGCCCCUUUUCAUUGAACAUCUAGAGGAGGGUGACGCUUCAGCUCCAAGUUUAUUGCGUCUAAAAGUAUGGAAUUUUUGUCUCUUACCCAUUAACAUACUUACCAUGUGUCACUUUUGAUGAUAUUGUUUCAAGUUUAAGCAAACACAUUUAUGGCAAUCAAUUAAUUUAAACUACUGCAGUUGUUAGAUGCAAUAUCUCGUGUGGCAUGCUUGGGUUUUGAAAAAUCAUACCGUGAGAGCAUUGUAUUGAUGACAAGAAGCUACCUGGAUAAGGUUAAAGCUGUAGGAGCUGCAGAGAACAACACAUUGCCAUCAGAAGCAACAGCUGAGCGAACAGAGGUCUGUGAUGAGUCCAAUAAGAAAUUUACAUUAUAUACUAUCAUAGAGUUGUAAUUUUGAUUCAUGUUCCAUGCUAACUGUGUCAACAAAAUUCUAGACUCUUCCCGCAGGUUUCUUACUUGUUGCUUCCAACCUCACUAGCACAAAACUCAGAUCUGAUUAUCGUCAUAGGUUGUUGUCCCUGUGCUCUGAUGUGGGGCUAGCCGCUGAAUCUAAAAGUGGGAGGUGAGAUGCUUUGUCAUCAGUCUUAUUUUUCUAUUCUUAAGCUAAAAUAUAUCUUGUUUUUGAGUCUUGAAUGAUGUACACACUUUUUGCUAGGCGCCAAUAUGUUUUCUUGUAUGUUUGAGGUUGUAACUCAAGACAGUUGUAGAGUUCAGGGUUGAAAACUGGACUUAAGGGAGAGUUUCGAGUUGAAAAACUGGACCUUUUUCAAGUCAAAUAACAUCUAUUAUGGACUGGAGGUUGUAUUGCUUAGAUUGUGAUAUACUUAACUCACCAUGGUGUGAAUGAACGAACAGUCAUGAGUGUCUGUCUCUGUUCAUUUGUGGUUUUGUAUGAGUUUCCUAGGAUUUAUUUUUGUUUUCUGGUUUAAAUGCCACAAUUUUUUUGCUAGACUCUGGUCAUCGAGUAUACACUUUCUACAGGUAUUUUGUUUUGUAAAUAUGUUUUACGUGCCAUCUUGAUUUUAAUUUUGGACGGGAGCUGUAGGGACCCUCACCUCUUGAAAAUAGAAGAGUCUGAAGGAAACAAUCUAGCCCUUGUAGCUUUCCCUGCGAAGGUUAAAUGGCUCUCAUGUAAAAUUAUAAAUCCAUCUACUAAUUUGUAUAAUACUAACGUUGUAUCACCUGAUUCUGUACGUGGUAUUCUUUUCUUGUACCCUCUUCAUUUAUCAUACACAAUUUUAUUUCAUCUCUUAUGCUUGUGCUAGUUAACUGUCCGUGCUUACUGUAAUUGUCAUUACUGUAGGAGUGGUGCUGAUUUGAUGGGCCCGUUACUUCCUGCGGUUGCUGAAAUAUGUUCAGAUUUUGAUCCAGUGUCCUCUGUCGAGCCAUCUCUAUUGAAAUUGUUUCGCAACCUGUGGUUCUAUAUUGUCUUGUUUGGUUUAGCUCCUCCGAUACAGAACAACCAGGCAUCUACAAAACCUGUUUCCACUCCGUUAAACACUGGGGAGAGCUGUGUAGCCCUGCAAGCUGUUGCUGGACCCUACAUGUGGAAUAGCCAAUGGUCUGUAGCAGUGCAACGCAUUGCACAAGGAUCUCCGCCGCUGGUAAGUUUUUUAGGACCAAAGAGCUGGGAAACAGUAUUAUUAUACUGCAGUUAGGAGUCUGAACUUGUUUGAAUUCAUUUCCUGUCACUGAGCAUACAUAGCUUGUAAUGGAAGGGGGACAGAUGUGGUUCAUAUAAUGUAUACUUUGCAUACAGCUCUUUGUGCUCCCCAUAUUAUUGUUAGCUUUCUUUUAGCAGGCCGAUAUAUGAAUAAAUAUCAUUUUAUCUCUGGAAGGACUGUGUGGUAGGCUCAGGGAAUAAACUUGGAUCAGUGAAUUUAACUGUGAAGUUGUAAUUUGUAUGAUGCUUGUCUAGAUGUUUUGGAAAACUUAGAAAAUAAAUAUACCACUUCUCAUUAAAAGGGGCCUGUUUUUAUUGUAUUUUGUGGAUAUGGAUACUACAAUACUUGGUAAGAGUAUGAUACACGGGAUUGUAUAAAUUAAAAUGGUAUAUAAUAUUCACUGGAAAAUUCAGAAUUACUGUGUGACUUCGUAUCUCACAAGUAUACUUUUUACAUUUCAGGUUGUCAGUUCAGUGAAAUGGCUUGAAGAUGAGCUAGAGUUAAAUGCUCUGCAUAAUCCAGGCAGUCGUCGUGGCAAUGGUGAUGAAAAGGCAGCUGUUGGACAGAGAACUGCACUUUCUGCAGCUUUGGGAGGUCGAGUUGAGGUAGCAGCAAUGAGUACAAUUUCAGGUCAAUGUUUAUUCUCUGUUGAGUGCUUUACGGCUUAUGCAGCUAGUUGUUUGAUUCCAGAAAAUGUAAAUUGCCCUCCAUCAAAUAUAACAAAGAAACUCUAGAAACUAGAUGAUGCCCCGUGCGUUGCUACGGGAAUUUGUAGCGCCGCAUAGAAGAAGGAUUUACAGUGAUAAAAUAGUGUAACCACUAAAGAAAUAUGAAAAUAUAUGUUUAUUUGAAUCUUUAUUGGACAGAAAAUUAGUAUAUUUUUUGCGGGGUAGAAAGUUAGUAUAUUGUAGUCGAUAAACGCAUUGCUAAUGUGUUGGAUUGCUAAUAUAUUGCAAAACAUCAAUUAGAGUGAUCUAAGUUUAGCAGGAUAUCUCAAAAAUACCUAUUUAGUUUGAGCGAUCUAACAUUUGUACCAACGAACUACCAUCAUAGUCCAAGUGAGGAAAUGCAAAUAAAAAUAUUAUGAAAAUGUCUGAAUGUGUGUGUGUGCGCGCCCACGAGAGAGAGAGAGACCUCUUAAAAAUUAUAAUGUUGGUAUUAUCCAUUGUGUGCAGCCCAGGACUCCUCAUUCUCCAAUUUCCUCGUGCUACUGUGCCUUAAACGGACCGCAGCUGCCACGACACUGUGUUGUUUCUACAUAUAGUAAAAAAAAAAAAUCUGCUUCUGUCCAUUGCAAAUGCUACUUCCCUACCUUACCUAGGCUUGCUCCUCUACUACAACUGCACCAGAUGUACACCAUACACGUGCACCUUGAGGUAGCCUCUCUGUAACUGAGCUCUAGCACACCUUCUCCAUCAUAAUUUGGGUCCAUGAGCCACAUCCCCACACAGUUCCUCAUGAGUCCAAGGGCUCUGGGAAUGGAAGAAGAAAGGCGAUGACAUGAAGCUGAUGACUCUUCAUAUCCUUGAAAACUCAAAUGUGUACCCGCAAAAAAAAACUUAAAUGUGUAAAAUUUUGUAGCAGAUUAUGUAAAUUGUAUCACAAUUGUAGCACGACUGAUUGAAUAAAAUCUCAUCAAUUGCACUGAUAUAAGCUCAACGAAUUGCAGAGUAUUAGCAGGAUAGUAACAAAAUUUUAUUUCCACUGUUAUCUAAGGACGGCGAAUUGGACGGAUUGCUUACUGGAUUGGUAAAACCUAGACGAUUAGACUUGCUGUAAGCAUUCCCUGUUCUUUAGAGAAAACCAUCUCUUCUUUUUUGCCGGUGAGAUAAAACAACUCCGAUCACAUAAACAACGCAUACCUAUCUAUGAAGUAGAAACUGAUAGGAAGCUCGAGUCCCCUCCUGUGGUCUGAUGCAACGUAUAUGCGCCUCGAAGAAGAAAGGCAGCCGGAAGUGAGAAGAAGCCAGAGUUAGCGUCUACUAAUUAGUCGGUCCUAGAAAUGGUGAGAGCAUGGAAGAUGGGGUGAUUACCUUGACCAGGACCGUGGGAGAGCCAAGGGAGCAUGUGAGGAGGAUUGGGCUUUAUGCAGGAGCAAUUUCUACUAGGAGACGAAUCGGUGGCUUGACUGUUGAAGGAUUUAGCGAUCAUAAGACUGGUCGGUUACUGAAGGCAGAAGACGAAACAAUAGCUUGGCUUGGGUGACUGUCUUAAAAAGAGAAACAUACUCGUACGCUGAUUACGGAAGCCACGACGUGGCAUCAUGCAAAUAGAAACGGAAGACAAGACUUGCUCAUGUGGCGAGAUUGCUGAUGUGGGCAGGCUGCAUGUAGACAUAAAUCCUGUAGUGAGGAUGAACUUCUUAAGUAUAUAGGAUGAGUGUGAUGCAUUAUAGGUACCUAAGGGCAUCAUUUCCAACACCGUGCAUCAAACCGCCCAUAUACGUCCGGACCGCGUUGUUCGGACACUUUGUACCGUCCAACGCCGUACAUCAAACGUCCGCACGUCUGAAUUCCUGCAACCAGAAGGAAACCCAGGGGAGGUUUCUUUGUAAACCCCACCUUCUAGGAGGAUUGUACCUGUACCUAUUUUUUUUAAUGCAAUGAAAAACAAAGGUCCUUUGCGUUUUCUCGAAAAAAACUUGGGGGAGGUUUGCAAACGUCCGGACAGCUGCCACCUUGGACUCCGACACACCCGGCCCGCACAAAAGCGAGGCGGAGCCUAUGCAUUUGGACAUUUCCUGCACUGUUUCCGCACGAAAGCCUGCCCUUUCCCCACUGUCUCCACUCCGAUCACCGUCGCCACCUACUUCAGUUGCCGCUCGUUUCGCUGUCCACCGUCAUGAUGGAGCAGGAUGAGGUACCGACGGAGAUGUUCGUAUUCCCGACGGGCCUGAGGCGGAGGAUUCAUUGGUGUUGGCUGCUCGCAAGGUCAACACGGUGACGCACACCACUCGCCGCCACAAACAGAGGAAGAGGGAGGAUGCUUUGCCAGCGGCUGGUCACCCAGUUAGGCGUCCGAUAAAGCUUGCGACUCGGCGGGUGCCGGUCGUGCAAUCUUCUCCGCCCUGUCCGGCGCAGAUGAUUCCGCCAUAUUACUUUGCCGCCACACAAGGCACCCACAGGGUUUGGGUAUGGGUGGAGCCACCCCAUACCUUUAGGGCGUGUUCGGUAGCCCUCCGUGGUCGAUAAAUCCUCAACUCCAACUCCCGGAAUCGAGCUCCAGCUUCUCACGAUCGAUCCCGGAGCUAGCGAUCAGUUCGGUGUUACCGCUUCUUGCUCGCACGAGGGAGCAAACCUGAAGCCCAUAAAAUCGCCCCUUUGUGGCCCAUUAGGAACAAGCUGGCAGUCCAAGGUGUGGGAAAGAUGGGAUGGGCCAUAGGCCUGGUCGGGGACAGGAGGGGGGAAUGCUGCAGGGAGGGACGACUUGCGACGAGAGAAAAGACUGGGAGCGAACCGGUACGAGAAGAAUUCACUUGGCGGUGGCAAGGGCCGGUAAUUACCUAUCAACUCUCGCUUCCAGUUUUGGAGGAGCUGCGAUUUCCCAACUCCACGACUCCACAGAUUUUGCACUACAUUUUUAGCCAGCUUCUCUCCUGUAAAUCCUGGACUGGAGCCGUUCGGUUGGACUCCUGGCCGGGAGUUAGAGGAGUCAGGAGUUGGAGGAGUACCGAACACGCCCUUACCCACCCCCCUUGAGCUUACCUAUCAUCCUUGACUAUACCUGUGGGUAGAAUUAACCAUGUUUGCAAAGCGUCAAUUUGUACAACUCACAUCCAUAAAAAGCAACAAAUAGUCACAAUUUAUAAACAACAACACAUCAUAAAGAACAACACAUUUAAUAAACAACUUCACUUUCUCGUAGACAACAACACAUCAAAACAACAUUACAGUCAUAAAUAGCAGCACAUAGUGAUACAUUUUGAGUUCAUAAAUUCACGAAGUGUGACAUAAUUUGGCCAUCCUCGUUAAUAUGGCUACAUGGGUAUAUAGGUAUGGGUUGUAUGAUUCCAUACCCGUACCCGCUCUACCCGAUGGGUUUCAGAUUUUCCUAUUUGUAUACCCAUGGGUAACUUUUUAUCCCAUACCUUACCCUAAUAGGGUUUUUACCCGCAGGGUACGUGGGUAAAACCCAUUGCCAUCACUACUCGGUCAGCAGCAGCCCGCGCCUACCGUCAGCGCCGGCCAUCACGUCUCGUACAACAUCGACCUCAACGGGGAGUACAACUUCACAAAGUCGCAGUCGCAGUCGCCGACGCUUGUCCGUUCGUGGAUGCCCGCUUCCACGCCCGUCGGUGCCCGGUCUCUGUUUGCCGGAAUGUCUCAGCCGGGCGCGACGGUGGAUGAUGAGGAGGUGGCUACGAAGACGGACAAGUGGACGACUCCCGGCCGGAGGUGAACAUCCAGCAGACUAACACCCCGAGGCCGGACAGCCAGCAGUCGCAGGCCCAGCCGACGCAGAUCCAGCAGUUGGACAUUUGAUGUAUAUAGGGUUGGAUGUCCGGCUCCGCUAGCGCUGUCCGUGGACACGUCCGGACGUGUCCGCGGACGUUUAGGGUGUCUGUUUUGAUGGACGGCAUCGGACAUGCUCUAACAUGCAGGGCUGUCUCAUUAAGUCCCUAUGUUUCACAAUAUUCUUGGCAGUUUACUAGCCAAAUGGCCCACAUAUCUAUGUGCUAGUUGAGCUACCAGAAUGUGCAGUCCCACAGCCCUCGUGUAGUUUGAGCAGUAUAUCAGGUGGAAGCCAUGCCCAAUCCUCCCCAUCAAUGUGUCUGACGAUCCAGAUGCCAUGGCUUGACACACCUUGGUGGCCCACAACUGCUAUACUGGAUGACGUGCAGAACAUGACAAAGAUCAAAGAGCUGGGAAACGCUUCAAUGUCCACAUAUUUGGAUGAUUGAACUAACAGUCUAACAUGCAGAUUUCUGCGAGACCUACAAGUGAGACCUACUAGGAUGAGUUUGCAUUUUUUGAACCCAAGUGAGAGAACCAUAAAAGAAGGGAUCCACGGUGCAAUUUAUUUUGAAAAUAUUAUCACAAAGCGGGUCUUACAGAAGUUACCUGUAGAGCCAACCUCUCUUCUCAUAAUUAUAGUUCAUUAUAGUGCAACAGGUACAUCCUGUUAUGUUCCAUUUGCUGCACUUGCACAAUUUACACCUCCAACCACUGCUUCUUGCUAUUGUUUUGCUCUCUACAGGGAUUAACUUUCACAAGUGCAAAUCUGUAGUUUAAAAGAAAAUAAAAAAAAUGUUCGCCACUGCCCUCCCUCUUGUUCUGAAUUAUCGGGAUUUGCAUUCAACAACAACAACAACAAAGCCUUUAGUCCCAAACAAGUUGGGGUAGGCUAGAGGUGAAACCCAUAAGAUCUCGCAACCAACUCAUGGCUCUGGCAUAUGGAUAGCAAGCUUCCACGCACCCCUGUCCAUAGCUAGCUCUUUGGUGAUACUCCAAUCCUUCAGGUCUCUCUUAACGGACUCCUCCCAUGUCAAAUUCGGUCUACCCCGCCCUCUCUUGACAUUCUCCGCACGCUUUAGCCGUCCACUAUCGGGAUUUGCAUUCCCCUGGCUUUAUUCGCAUGAAUGGUACACAUGAGAGAUGGAAUUUUGUGAAGUAUCCCACUAAUUUGUUUUUACAUUAUUUUUUUCAUUUUCAGGAGUUAAAGCUACAUAUCUCCUCGCAGUUGCUUUCCUUGAGAUAUUGCGUUUUAGCGGCAGUGGUGGCAUACUUUCAGCUACAUUGAAUAAAUCAAAUAGUUCGUUCGGUUGUGUGUUUGAGUAUCUGCUUACUCCCAACUUGACACCAGCAGUAACUCAGUGUUUGACGGCAGUUGUGCACAGAGCUUUUGAAACAAUGUUGUCAUGGCUGGUAUGUAAUCAUAUUUGUUCUGUUGUCUUUGUAUCCCGUCAUGUGCUAUGUCCUCUGUUGUUUUCUGUUGAAUCAAAUCACUCCCCAUCUCAUGGCAACUUCGAUUUUUAUAAGUAAAAAAAGGCUUACAGCUUUCUGUUGUGAAAGAAACACACAUUCUACGCCAUUGUUGCAUCCUUGACAGCUUUUGCCAGGCACUUACAUUUCCCUAGUGUUUCAGAUGCAUGUUAUCAUAUCUAGGAUUCUUGUUGAGACACCCAGUUGUUAGAAAAGAUGCACAAAGAUGCACUGGCAGACAGAUGUUUUAGUUUUCCUUUGGGCAGUAUGAGACAUCAAACAUUACUUGCAUCUUGUUCCAAGGUUUUAAACCGGCUCUAGAUGUUGCAUCAUACAACAUUAGACAUUAGGAAUUUGAUCUGCAUUGGUGUUAUCCGUCCUCUGUUCAUCGACUUUGCAUUGUAGACUGUAGUUCAUCUGUCGAAUUAUACUACUGUUAUUUUAUCUUUAGAGAGAUGAGAAAUUUGUAACCUGUAAGGCUGUAACCGUGCACCAGAUUAAGUGUAUUUUAUGUUCCCAGGAGGAACGUACGUCUGACAUAGGCGAAGAAUCUAAUGUGAGAGAAUCUGUUCUUUCCGUUCAUGCUGGCUUCCUUAUAAAGAGCAUGUCACAAAGGGAUGAACAUGUUCGUGAUCUGAGUGUUAAGUUGUUAACUCAGCUAAAGGAAAAAUUUCCACAGGUUAGGUGCUUUGAUUUGGCUUCUCAUGUUUUAGUUAUUUGUUUUGAGCCACACUGAUGACACUAGUAUACUGAACUUUCAGGUUCUGUGGAACUCCUCAUGCUUGGAUUUACUUCUAAUAUCUGUUCAUAAUGAGUUGACUUCUGGUCCUGUCAGUGAUCCUGCUUGGGUUGCCACUAUACGCUCACUAUAUCAGAAGAUUGCUAGGGAAUGGAUAACAAGUGCUCUUUCAUAUGCUCCAUGUACCACUCAAGGCCUAAUACAGGUUCAGUCAAUAUAACAUUAUUUGGCCUUGCCUUUUUGAGCACCAUUAUUCUUACUUUGUAUGAAGCCGAUGCAUGAUUUAUUGUUAGAACAGGGUCAUUGCCGUGUAAAUGUUAAGGCUGCAGGUCACUUGUAGGGCACAGUUUUACUUUGACUGAAACAUCAUUGUUUUUUAUUUCAUUAGAUAUUUGGUGCAGCAUGCUUUUCAGUUUUCACACUAUUCUGGUAAACAAUCUAUGCUCUUAAAGCAGUAAGUGUCGCCUCUUUUAUCUAUUCUUCCUCUCGCCUUGUGACUACAAAAUUCCUUCUUUAUCCUCGUUUGCAUACCCAAUUAUAGUUUUCUCAAUACAAAAUGCUUGUGAGCACCAACUGCUGGAUUAUUUUAGGGUUCAGGAUUUAGUCACAACACUAUACUUAUAUGGCAGCCUUUCUUGAGUCGUUUAUUGCACAAGCUUUGUGCCAGAGGCAUCAUUAAGCUGGCAUAUAAAGUUUGCACUCUUUGUUUCCCCGCCACCCAAUGCAUAUAUUGAUUGUUAAUAUUUUUAAUGGUAUUGUUUAGGAAAACUUUUGCAAGCCGAGUGGUGCACAAAGAACGCAGCAUACGGCAGAUGUUGUCUCACUUUUAUCCGAGAUACGUAUUUGUAUUGGAAAGAAUGAUUGGAAUGGCAUCAGGACUGCUAAUAUCCCAGCAGUUAUGGAUUCUGCUGCAGCAGCAUCAGGAGCGAGAAAAGAAGCACCUGACAUCACCCUGGAAGUAUUGUCAACUGCAGUAGUGAGUGCAACUGUGAAAUGUAACCAUGCAGGGGAGAUUGCUGGUAUGAGAAGGCUGUUCAGUACUAUGGGCGGCUUAAACAUGGGUGUGUCUCCUGGUACACAGUCUGGGCAGGCCCCACAGUCAUUUGAUGAAGUUUUUCUGUCCAAAUUUGUUCGGCUUCUUCAGGACUUUGUUGUUACGGCGGAAAAACAACCAAUAGAUAAUUCACAAUUUCGUGAAACUUGUUCUCAGGCUACAGCAUUACUUCUUGAUCAUCUGGUAAUUUGUUUGCACCUAGGUGGUUUGUUACUUCCUUAGUUCUUGGCUUUGAUUGUAUUCUAAUGUGUAACACAGGUAUCUGAUUCUCGAACGAAUCUGGAAGGGUUUUCUCAGCUUAUACGACUUCUAUGCUGGUGCCCUGCUUAUAUUUCUACCCCUGAUGCAAUGGAGACUGGAAUUUAUAUCUGGACAUGGCUAGUUUCUGCAGCACCUUCUUUAGGUCCUCUUGUGCUUGCGGAACUUGUUGAUGCAUGGCUGUGGACAAUGGAUACAAAACGUGGUUUGUUUGCAUCUGAUAUGAAGUACUGUGGGCCUGAUGCAAAAUUGAGGCCACAUCUUAUUGCUGGUGAACCUGAGGCACCACCAGAAAAGGAUCCAGUUGAAGCAAUAAUUGCCCAUAGGCUCUGGCUUGGCUUCUUUAUUGAUCGCUUUGAGGUUAUAACCAGACUUUUUCAUUGUUUGCCUUGUGAUUUUCUACAGUUGUUUUCUUUGCCUGUCUAAGAUGUUGUGCAUGCAACCAAACUCCACUUGUUCUUAUGCUACAGCUGUUGAACCUUAUAUGACAAUGUAUUGUGAUGUAUAAUUUGCGUGUUCAGUUUGUGUCUUGUUUGGAUUAUGACAGACAUCACCGCUGAAGAUCUACUGACAUACUCCCUCCGUCCCAUAAUAUAAGAACGUUUUUGACAUUAGUGUAGUGUAAAAAACGUUCUUAUAUUAUGGGACAGAGGGAGUACUAUAAUCUUGACUUUUUUUUAAACCCGCUGCUGCAGAGAGGGGUUCUUCACACGUUCUAUUUUGACAGACCAAAUAAUAUGGAGGGAAAUAUGCGAGGGAGAAGAAAAACAAAUAAUGCAUAAGAAAAUUCUGCCUUUCUAAAAUAAUUUAAAAUAAGGAAAGUUACAGUUAUAUAAAGGAAAUUUCUCCCCUGGUAUUUACUUGUCACUUAUCUCAGGAUUAAUUUAUCUGGUGUAGAACUUCUAUAUUUGACACCAGUCAGUGCCGAAUAAUAAACAGUUUAAAUGGUUUCAGUUCUGUUGGCAGAAGUAUAUGUCGAUUAUACCACAAGUAGUAUCUAGAUUUUCAUUAAUGCGCUGAGACAUGCUUCAAACUGAUCAGAAUUGUACAUUUUGAAUAUAGGGUUGUCCAUAGGGUAAUAUUUUUUUGUUUAUGGUCUGGCGGUACUUUUGGUAGUCUGCAAAUGUGUUGCAUUUCUAAACCACAUCUUCGCAAGCAAUUACGUUACUUACUCCCACCGUUCUGAAAUAUAAGGUGUAUUAGUUUUUUCAAAGUCAAACCUGUGCAUGUUUGACCAAGUUUCUAGAAAAAAAAUCAAUGUAUACAAUACCAAUUUUUUAUAAUUUGAUACAUCAUGAAAAGUAUUGUCAUAGUUUAUCUAUUAGGUAUCGCAGAUGUUGAUAUUUUAUUCUAUAAUCUUGGUCAAACAUACAAAUGUUUGACUUCCAUGAAAGUUGAUGCACCUUAUAUUCUGUGACGCGAUUGAUUUAUUCUCUGCAUAUUAUCAGCAAAUGCUGCUUACCCUCGUACUAUGUCUUUAAACCAUCUUUAUGUAUGUACUAAAAGUGACAAAACUUGAUGUCUUUUAUCGUCAGUACAUAAUUAAAGUUGCUUGCAUUUUUUGUGGUCCAAAAUAAGAGUCGCCUUGUGAUGUUCCAUAGGAUAAAAUGAAGAUUCAUUAUUGACCCUUUGCGCAAUGUUUUGAUUGAUUGCUAGCUAGGUCUUAUACAUCCGCUGUUCUCUUGUUGUGCUGUUUAAUCAGCUACCUUGUGUGCGUGUUAUUUAAACAGGUGGUUCGGCAUGAUAGCAUUGAGCAACUUCUACUUCUAGGCCGUAUGCUGCAAGGGAUGAUGAAGUCUCCAACUCAUUUUUCUCACCAUCCUGCUGCUACUGGCACUUUCUUUACCGCGAUGCAACUUGGUCUGAACUUUUGCUCGUGCCAGGAUCAAUUUAACUUGCAGAAAUGUAAUAUGGGGCUUCAGUUGUUAGAGGACAGAGUAUACCGGUAAUAAUCAAUUCGUUACACAGUUUCCUUGUCUUACUAUAUUGCUCUUCAGUGUAUUUUAUGAUAUUUCUGCUGCAAUAUUUGGUUUGCUGCUUUCUAUAUCUUUCAAUCAUAUUGGUGCAAAUAAUAUUUAUUUGGAAAUCAUGUUAAGAGGAAGAUGUCAGAGUCAAUUAGGAUGGGAAGGUUGGGAAUAAAGGGUGUAAUUAAGAGAGAGAUAAUGCAUUUGAGAAAGACGAGAACUGAAUGCCACAGGAUUCUCAAGCUGACUACAUACCACAAUGCUUUAUACUGUUAAUUACAUGAGAUUAUGAGCAAACGUCCAAGCAUUAGCAAGUUUAGGGAGUUGAGAAGAUCAUUCGUCACAAGGUGGAUAGUAGUACACUAGUACUAUACAAUUUCUGCAGUUGCUAAAAGUUACAUUUGGUAAUUCAAUAAAAUACUUUAUGAACAUGUGGUUAGGACACUUAUCUCUUGUUAUUAGCUUGAUACUGUGCAGUUGAGUAUUCUGUAUGCGUCGUCUACCUCUUCAUUAAACAUGUUCAUGUAAUAUUCAAAAUUUGUUUUUAUGCGUCGUGCUUAUGUAAUGAUAUGCAAGUUUGCAUCUUUUCUGUUUCCUCCCAUCAUGUUAUGGUACUUGAUAAUAUAGUUUGCUUGUCCUGUCUUUUCUUGCAGUGCUGCUUUGGGAUGGUUUGCUUAUGCACCUGAAUUUUAUGAGUCUCCAAACAAAAGUUUUGCUCAGAGAGAGGCCCAGUCUGUUUCAAUAUUUGUGCACAAUCUGCAAAAUACCAGUUCCACUGAUUCUGGUUCGAAGCCACAGGGACGUGAAGGUGAACUUAACACGGUAUGAUAGUCCUCCUCUAUCUCUCUGCCCUUCCCCACCGAACAUAAAAUGCAUAUCCAGUUGUCUUGUGCUUGUGAUAUAAAACACGGGGAGAUAACUUGGUGGAGAGAGGAGAGCUUCUGGGAGGGAGAGAGGGAGGAGUGUGGCAGGAGGGGAAGGUGCGCCACAGAGACAGAAAGAGAGAGAUGGCUACCAGUUUAUUCUUUUCUUGGUAAAAUUGAACUAGAUCAACUCUACUUAUAGGAGUUCUUACAUAUGAUGACCAAUUGAAUAUUGAAUGCAAGCAGUAGAUAAAGAUGGAUUGUUGAAUGUGACUAACAAAGUAAUAUAUAACCUAAUGCAUGGACCUAAUUUGCUGCUACGCUUAAUAAGUUAAUAUUGCUGUUGCUGCCCUCCUUGCACGCAUGUGCCCAUUGGGGUGCUGUGGCAUUCACUUCUAUUAUCUAUGUGAUGAAAAGCUUAACAUUUCUCUCUUGUUUUCCCUUUGGUGGCAGGCGGAUCAGAUCCACCCAGUGUGGGGUUCUGUGGAUAACUAUGCAACUGCGAAAGAAAAGCGCAAGCAAUUACUUUUGAUGCUUUCUCAGAAUGAGGCGGACAGGCUUGAAGUCUGGGCACAACCAAUAAACACAAAGUAACUACUACUGUGAUAUUAUGUUAUCUAUUGUUUCUUAUUUGUGUUAUGAGUUUAAACUCACAUGUGUUGCAUAUUAUAUCUGGGCAGAGACACGUCAACAUUUCGUGGCAAAAUUAGCUCAGACAAAUGGAUUGAUCACUGCAGAACUGCUUUUGCUGUUGAUCCUCGAAUUGCACUCUCUAUGCCUAUGAGGUUUCCGACAAAUGCAACAUUGCAGUCUGAAAUUACUCAGUUGGUACAGGUAUGGUUCUUGCCUAUAGCUGCUGCCUUUCAGAUAUAGUUCUCCACUGUGUCCCUUUCUUCACAUUUAAGUUAUUUUUUGGAAUAUCUCCGCAUUUCAUCUAUACUGUAGGCAUUCAUUCACAGGAAAUGUAAUAUUUAUCUCUUGUUGCAUUUCGCAACUUAAUGUUAGCUGAAGAUGUUAUCUUUCAUAAUUAUCUACUCUUAAAGAUUUGUAAAUUAGUCAGGGAAAUGUAGUCAUGAAUAUACUUAAUUUAGAAUAACAUGCAAUAAUGUUAAUCACUGCCUAACCAGAGUUGCCACUAUUUUAAGGGCAUUGCUGUGAUCUGUUUGCCCCCUUAUUAGUAUGUAGUCAAAUGGCAAAUCAGAAAUGAAUUAGUUAGGAUAUCUUGAAUGUAUCAACUACAGAAAAAUGUAUAAGUACAAGGAUAGAUAUGUGACAAUGUUAUGUUGGCUGCCUUACCUAUGGAGGUAAAAUUCAUAUUGUGGUAAAAUGACGAACUGGCAGUUAUGUCUUGUUAAUCAUGAUACCUAAUAUAACAUACUGCUGGCUUGGGCUAUUAUGGUUUCAGUUUCUUUUGGGUGUGACAUCUGGAUAUUUAAAUGGCAUGAGAAAAAUCUUAUCUGAAGAUAAGAAAGUGCACUGUGUGAUGCUUGCAAGCUCAGCAUUUUCAGCCUUUUAUUUUCUUGUCAUUAUCUUACAUUUUUCUAGAUUACUUUCCCCUUACCUUUAACCAUAGUCAUUAAAACCGAACCAGACAGGUUCAACCAGAGCCGAAGUACUGUCUGGUCUGGUUUGCUAGGAAGACCGUCGAUUACAGAUUCAGUUUCAAUGCUUCAAUACUGGAAGUUUGUAACUAGUGGAUGCUCUCACAUUAUUAAGCUUAUGCUUCAAUGCAUGUGACCAUUAAAUGAAGCGUCUAAUGUGCUUCAUUCGUGUUGAAAAAGAAGUGCUUCAUUCUAUAUUGAGCAUCUUUAGCCCUACCAUCUGUUCAGUUUCAGGGAUAAGGGUGAAUUGCCAUAUCAUUUUUUUUGUCUUUGCAGACACACAUACUGGAGCUCCGUACAAUUCCUGAAGCAUUACCGUUUUUCAUCACUCCAAAGGCAGUGGACGAAAACUCAGCACUGUUACAGCAACUUCCACACUGGGCUCCGUGUUCUGUUACGCAGGCAUUGGAGUUUUUUACCUCUCCUUAUAAAGGACAUCCCCGUGUUAUGGCAUAUGUUCUUCGUGUCAUGGAGACUUAUCCACCUGAGACUGUCACCUUUUUUAUGCCACAGUUGGUACAGUCUCUCAGAUACGAUGAUGGGGUGAGAAUUUCUUCUAUGUGUUUCUAUCAGUGCAGACCAGAAAAAAAUACUACCCCCUCCGAUCCAAAAUAAGUGUCGCUGUUUUGAGUUUUGAACUAACUACAGUUCAAAACUGCGACACUUAUUUUGGAUCGGAGGUAGUAAUAAUUAAAUCUGCAUUUUGAUUUAUUAUUCCUUGUAGAAGACAUGUCACCUUCUUAAAAAUAAUAAUGCGCUUCUCUUUUUUUCCUUGCCUUUUAUCUCAUCAGAAAUUAGUUGAAGGAUACUUGCUUGGAGCUGCUCGAAGAAGUAAUAUAUUUGCUCACAUCUUAAUAUGGCAUCUGCAGGUGAAAUUAUUUAGUUUGUAUUUUCUAUAUUUCUAAAAUUAUGGGAACUUGUGUUUGUUCAAAUGAAGAUAUAAAUUUUAUUUUAUUCUCCCAUAUUCCUACUGGGAAAUUCUUCGCUGACUUUCUUGUUCAUUUGCAAACUGGAAAUUCCAGGGGGAAUGUGAGGAAGAUGACAAUGAAAAGGAAGGAGCUGCCCCAAAGGUACAACACCUUGUCAUCUUUCUGUAGCUGGAAUCUUCCUUUCAUUGUCCUUUGGGUUUCAAAGUAUCCUGUUGCAUUACCCAAAGAAUCCAUUACAGCCCCUUUAUGGAAGUUCCUUGUAACGGUUGGUUCCCCAUAAAUUAAUAAGCUUGAGGGACAGCAAGAAUGUUAGUUUGUAAUCAGGGUUGUGCUUAUUUGAUAAGGCACCUGAAAGAUUUUAUGAAAUGUUUGUUUACUUUUGACUCAUGCGCUUCAUGAAAUUAACUUCCAUUGUUUUUGCAAGUAAAGCUGUUGUAGUGGUGAAUAAAUGAUGGAUUGAACAGUUAAGUCGUGCAAUGUUAUUUUGAAUGGGAAGAAUCCAUAUUAUAUUCAGACUUACAGUAGGCAUGAACAUAGGACUCUAUGUCUUGUAUGUGUCACCCUGUUAGUCUGAUGCUUUUCUGUUUUGUACGUACUGUAUAUGGCCCACCCAGCACCAAGUUAGGGAGAGGAUCCCCGUGAUCUCUAUAUAUCUAACUUGCUUCCAGGGUCAAGUGCCUCUUCUAGCCUAGUGCACAACAUUUUCUGAGUAAAAUCUUGUCUUGGUCAUUUCUUAUCUUGUAACUUAGUCAUAGUAAUGUGUGCUGUUUUGCCAAAGCACAUUGCAAGCUUUGAAGGUAAUGUGUAUAAUGUUAAACAUUUUUUUUUCAGCCCAAUGCAUUCCAGUCCUUGCUUCCUGCUGUUAGGGAGAAAAUUGUUGACGGUUUCACUCAGGAAGCUCGGGACAUGUUUGAAAGAGAGUUUGAUUUUUUUGACAAGGUCACCUCAAUUUCUGGUGUUCUUUUCCCUCUCCCCAAGGAAGAGCGAAGAGCUGGUAUUAAAAGGUAUUUAUAGAAAUUUCAUUCUUGUGUUUUGUUGAAGAACUAAGACCCUACUACCAAGAGAACUUCUCAUCUGGAAAUUUGUGCUAGUGAACUCAUCAUUUUGAAUUCUUAAUGCAGGGAGCUGGAGAAGAUUACUAUUCCAGGUGACGACCUCUAUCUACCUACUGCAACGAACAAGUUAGUACGGGGCAUACAGCUGGACAGUGGUAUUCCUCUCCAGUCUGCCGCAAAAGUUCCAAUAAUGAUUACUUUUAAUGUGAUUGAUCGUGACGGGAACCCAAAUGAUGUAAUGCCACAGGCUUGCAUUUUUAAGGUAAAUAAUUCUUUUGUCGCAAUGAAAUCUGCGCAACUAAUUUCUUUCAUGGGCGUAAACCUAUAAUUCUGGGUCAUGUGUAUUUAUCUAUUAUUAUGGGAACAUAAACCUCAGCUCACAUUUCCGUCUUUGGAAGGACAAUGAGAUUGCUGACUCCAUACCAAGGUUUUAAACCGAUGUGUGCCUAUAUAGCAAGGACCUGGAAAGCUUAGCGUCGAUUUUCAAAUCAUGUCAUAAGCUGAUGACCAGCAUAAUUAAAACCACUAUACAACCUGCGGCUGUUGGGAACAGUCUUCUCAAGUAUGAUCAGAGGCUCCCAUGGGAACUGUACAGUGUUUUUUUGGUGUCUUGCAUUCUCUUGAUACAAAAACAUACAGCUUGAGGUUAGGAAAAAAAGAGUGCUAAAUUUGUUGAGGUACAUCAAUUGUGGUAGGAACCUUGACCUGAGAAAUAUCUUCACCUCUACAAAACCGGGUGGGCAAUUUUACAAAGUUACCACUGAAAGUUCCCACCAUGUUUCAGUCACAUUGUUCACUGCUGAUAAUCUCAUUAUUAGUUUCAUUUCAUUGUCACCUGGGUACUUAUACGUGAUAUGCAGCUACUUUUCGCAUGUUCUCUAAAAAAGUUACAAGUGAAGACUGCAGACACUCACACCACCACACCCAUGCACACACGCGUGCAUGUCCUACUGAAACAUAUGCUUUCUGGGUGCAGUUGUACACAAUUUAUUUUUUAGGCUUGAUUACAGCCUUUCUGUGCUGCUGUCGUGGUUUUGUGCAACUAAAAGCUAGCUAUCAACAUGGCUCAUUUCUCAUUCUGAUUUUGCUGGCAACAGACCGUAAUAGUUCCUUUGACAUGACAGUUUGUAAAUACACUUUUAUCAUUGCCACAAUAUGGUUAUCAUGUGGACUAUAGGUAACAUGGUGAAAUACUAAAAUGACCUUGAUCAAUUGCGUCAUUAUAAUUUACACCAUAAACAAUAUUGUAGGCAUAAUGAUAAAGGUUACCCUGCGCAAGCGGGAGCUACAUGCACCGGGCUGCCCUUUUUUUUUUAUAAUGAUAAAGGUACACAAAUUACUUCGGUCGAGUGUAAACUAAUUAAAAGUGAGGUCAAGUUCAUUUUAGUUGACUUGUAGUUCAGGACUUUGAAAAGGUAGUAUGUCUACGACGUCUUUCUGAUAAUGUUAUAAUUUUUCAUCCUGUCCUGGUAAUCUUAUAUCGUUCACUGUGCUUGACAGUUCUUACAAGCAACUUUCUAUGCUAUGACAGGUUGGUGAUGACUGUAGGCAGGAUGUGCUGGCCCUUCAAGUUAUUGCCCUAUUAAGGGACAUAUUUGAAGCAGUCGGAUUAAACCUGUAUCUCUUUCCCUAUGGUGUUUUGCCCACUGGCCCUGAACGAGGCAUAAUUGAGGUCAGCAUAGACCUGCAAUUGUUUCAUUUUUCACCCUAUGGACUACGUAACCAACUAGUGGUCUUGGAAAGAGUUAUUGGCUGUUGUUCUUGCUUUCCUGUAUGGUUCAUACAUCUUAACCUGAGCAUGCUGCAGGUUGUCCCAAAUACUCGGAGUAGAAAUCAAAUGGGUGAAACAACUGAUGGUGGUUUAUUAGAAAUAUUUCAGCAAGAUUAUGGCCCUGUAGGGUCACCUUCUUUUGAAGCUGCACGUCAAAUGUUUAUUGUUAGUAGUGCUGGAUAUGCUGUUGCCAGCCUGCUUCUUCAACCGAAGGAUCGGCAUAAUGGCAAUCUUCUCUUUGAUAGGUUCUAACUUAGUCCUAUAUAAUUAAUUAACCGCGUAAAGCUGGAAUUAUCACUUAACCAUCACCUUGCUUAUGCAGCCAGGGGAGACUAGUUCAUAUUGAUUUCGGAUUUAUUUUGGAGAUUUCCCCUGGAGGUAACAUGGGGUUUGAGAGUGCACAUUUCAAGCUAAGCCAUGAGAUGACUCAAUUGCUUGAUCCAUCUGGAACUAUGAAGAGUGACACCUGGAAUCAGUUUCUCAGGUAUGCAAUUUUUUCACAGUUCUAGCAAACUGUAAUUGGGAGUGACUCUUUAAUACUCUCUCUGUUCCUAUAUAUAAGUCUUUUUAGAGAUUCCAGUGCGGACUACAUACGGAGCAAAAUGAGUGAAUCUACACUAAAAUAUGUCUAUAUACAUCCGUAUAUAGUCUCAAUUGAAAUCUCUAAAAAGAUAUAUUUAGGAACGGAGGCAGUACAUGUCUCUGCAAUUUAUGCAAGCUUGAUACACUUUUUCCACCAUGAGGGCGAGGGAGCUAGGCAAGAAAGUCAUGACCUUUGUAGAUAAAAUUAUGCAUAGAAAAUAUAGGUUGGGACAUUUUGUAGAGAAAAUUAUGCCUAGAAAAUGCAAGGGGAGGGAAAAAAAGUUGGGCGACCUUUUGUACAUAAAGUUAUGCAAACUGUAGCUAUCCCUCUCAGUAUGAAUUUGUGGAGGGAGAUUGUCCGUCUGCAAACUUUCUACGAUGUUUGGAAAACGAUACUGAACACUAUAUGAAGCGUAGUUUGUACGAAUCCAUGGACUGCAUUGACCUUCUCCUUGCACUGCAUUAUUCUGAUUACAAUGUUGUCUGUCCAGACUGUGUGUCAAGGGAUACCUAGCGGGAAGGAGACACAUGAAUGGCAUUGUAACUACAGUACAGUUGAUGGUGGACAGUGGACUCCCUUGCUUUAGCAGGGGAGAGCCCAUUGCUAAUCUUCGGAAGCGGUUUCAUCCAGAGAUGAAUGAGCGCGAGGCGGCCAAUUUCAUGGUACGGACAUGUGUUGAUGCCUACAACAAAUGGACCACCGCUGGGUACGAUUUGAUUCAAUACUUGCAGCAAGGUAUUGAGAAAUAGUUAAUUUCCCAUUUUGUAAAUGGUAUGGGUCGUGUACAUCAAUUGUAUGUAGCACACUAACUCCAGCAUGUAGAGUUAUAUUGAGCAGUUCCUUUGUACCGAGAGAACUGAGAAUGUAUGUUUAACAGAGGUGUGAUGUAUUUUCCUAUUGAAAGACAGUCUAGCUAGUAAGUAAGCCCAAUAGUAUCAUCAGUUCACCGGGUCUUUUUGUAACAGAGCAGCAGAUUCAAUUCUUUGUCUUCUGCUGUCCACAUAUUUGUUGAUUUUAUCAUGUCGUUGACAUAUUCUCUGGAUGAGGUUGUGCAAUUUCAGCAGUCACUUUUUGUUUUGUUUGAGAAGGAUUUGGUAUGUCAUUUUUCUCCCCGUCCAGUAGUGUAAGAUUUCUUUUGACAAAAUACCACAAUUUCAUUUGCGCUUUGACACAAAUAUCGCACCUGUGUCUUAUUUGAUGUACCUACAUCUCAUCCAGAGAUGCCAUUAAGAAUAUAUAUUGCCUUUCUCGCGUUCAUUUUUGGUGGCUCUGUUAUCCUAGUUUUAGGGGCAUAAGAACUUUCGUUGCUGGGCUUUCUCUCGCUCUCUUAGUUAAAGGGAAUAUGAUGGUCGUUCUUUUCUCCUCCAUAUCAGUACUGAGUGCUAUACUGAUACUCAUGGAAUGAAUGUGUGGUAACAUGAUUUUUUUUGAAAAACAACACCUUUAUUAAUUAGAAACAAUGGUUACAUUGUCUAUAAGAAGAGGUACAAUAUUUCCAUAGGCUCCUCGAACCAAUCCUUUGUCAUGGAACAUUUCACGAACCUAGCAAGUUCAUGAGUGAAAGUCCUAUUCUGAUCCCGAGCUCAAAUGCACCACGGUAAAAUUCAAAAUAUAUAAAAAAUUCAAAAAAAAUGUGAUAAAAUUUUAAAAAUGUUUUGUAUGUUUAACAAUGUUUUGUAUGUUUAACAAAUUGCAGCACGAAAUGACAUUUCGUGGAAGUUGUGGCAAACAAAAAGUACUCCAAAAUAUUUUCAAAACUAGCAUGUUUGGAGCAUCGUUUUUUUCAUGACUUCCUCGAAUGUCCUUCCGUGUUGAAAUUUUGCAAGCAUACAAAACAUUUGUCAAAAUUUACCACAAAAUAAUUUCAGAAUUUUUUGAAUUGCUUUACUUUUCUUUUACUAUUCAUCAGGGUGCAUUUGAGCUCGGGAGCAGAUACUUCAUGUCCGUUCAUGAGCUAUUUUAUUUGCUUCCCUAUUACAAUGUUCAAAACUAGUAAAAGAAAAAUCACCUGCCAUAAAACAACAAUCAUCAAAAACUGCCGCCGCCACUCUUGCAGAAUGUCCUCUAUUCUUCAUCGUGUCAAUAACUUCCAUGUUAUCAGAGUUAAUCAUGAGACGAUUGCAGCAUGCCUUUUGUGCCAAUAAUAAGUCAAACCUAAGCGCCAACGCUUCCGCUGUCAGAACAUCAGCACACCAAUCAAUCAUCCAAUUUUCUUCAAUAAUGAAUUUUCCUUUAUCAUCCCUGAUUACAACACCGAUUGUGCCCGUAAGGCGUAAGCAGCAUCCACAUUCAGCUUAACAAAACCCCUUAGGAGGUCUGCUCCAUCCUCCAUUUCACCUAGUAGUAUUAGGGGAGUGGGCAUUUACAUAGUUUGCCGUUAUAACUUGAAUCCCCAUCGAGGCUUCAUACACCCCUCUUGAAACUUACCCUCAUGAACCAGCUUACAUCUAUCACAUCAUAAAUACCAAGCAGUUAUAGCGAUCAAUUCAAGCGCAUUGGGGCCCAAAAUAGACAGUUCUUGAUCUGGCAUGAGUAGUAAUUCAAGUGCGGCCUCUCCCGCAUAAUCAAUAACACAAGCUUUCUUAAUCGCUUUGUACAUCCCCAACUUAUCCCACAUCUUUUUUGCCUUCUGACACAAAACAUGUUUUGUUUCCUCUGGACCAUUCGAGCAUGAUGGACAAAACUUUCAUGUAUCUAUUAGCAAGCGUAACACGACGCGCGAGGAUUCAUACAUCAAAUAAAUAUUUUUACCUUUGCUGGACAAGCUAAUUUCCAGACCUUACCUCAAAUAGGAUUGACCUUGCUUCUAUCCAUACCAUUUGUGUAUUGCAAUUUCCUCCCAUGUUGUUGUUUCCAUUCCUUCAAAUAAGCUGAUCGAGCAGUAAAUAAAGUAUUUUUUGUAUUCAAGCAAUGAAAUCCAGCAUAUUAUGCAUAGGGAGGGGAAUCACAAGGACUCGUUGAGCAUCAAUUAUUGGCCACAACGUUUGUCUCAUCAAAUCUUCAUCCCAAAAAUUCAUGACGGGAUCAAUAGGAUCAUAAUAAACCUUUGACAGAAGGUGCCCUCGUCUAGGAGUAAUACUUUUUCUAUUUGCACAAUUCGGGAUCUAAGCAUUUCGCCAAAUAUCAAUAGUUUGUCCAUUCCUAACUCGCCAUAUAUAACCUUUUCUGAGAGAGUUGACUCCCGGCAUAAUGUUUGCCAAGUAAAAGAGGACCCUUUCUUAAAUUUGCAUUCAUCAAAGCACCCUCAGGGAAAUACUUGGCUCUGAAGAUUUUUGCACAUAAGGAAUCAGGAUUAUCCAAAAGACGGCAACCUUGUUUAGCUAACAAUGCCAGAUUAAAACAAUUUAUAUCUCUAAAGCCCAUAUAUCCUUGAUCUUUUGGAACACACAUCUUCCACCACGCCAUCCAAUGCAUCCUUUUUCGAUUGUCCUCGUCACCCCAUCAAAAUUGCGACAUCGCGUCAAUGAUUCCUUUGCAAAUUUUUGUAGGAACUUUAAAGACGAAAAUGGCAUAGGUGGGAAUAGCUUGUACAACAGGUUUGAACAAUUUUUCCUUCCCCCCCGCAGAUAAUAAUUUUUAUUUCCAUCCACUAUUUUUCAUAAUAAUUCGAUGAACUAGGAACAGAAAACAACCGCUUUUGUCCAUACCCACAUUGGCAGGCAAACCCAAAUAUUUACCAUUGAGGGCUUCAGUCAGAAUAUUCAAAAUAGUACAAAUUUGCGCCUUGUCUUCCACGUUUGUACUGGGGCUAAAAAUAUGCUAGAUUUUUCGACACUCACCAUUUGCCCCGAGGCGGCACAAUAAGAAUCCAUAACUGAUCUCAAAGCCUCCACAUUCAUGGUGUUGGCUCGCAUAAGGAUCAAAGAGUCAUCGGCAAAGAGCAGAUUGGAAAUUGAAGGGGCGUCUCUGCUAACCUUAAUACCGGAAAUAUUACCCUUCUCCGUGUUAGCUAAGAGGGUGGUCAAGCCCUCCGCACAUAACAAGAACAAGUAGGGAGAGAGAGGACCCCCUGCCUCAAUCCUCUAGUAGGUUUAAAACUCUCAGUCUCUUCAACAUUAAAACGAACUCGGUACUCCACAGAGGUACACAAAUCCACCCAAUUUUCUUCGAAUCCCAGUUUCAACAAAUUUUCCUUCAAAAAGCACCAUUCCACUCGGCCAUAUGCUUUGUGCAUGUCCAGUUUGAUAGCACACAAGCCUUCUUUACCCGCCCUUUCUUCUUUAUUGUGUGGGAACAAUCAUUUGCCACUAAAAUAUUUUCUGUAAUCAUUCUUCUAGGCACAAAAGCACUCUGAGUUGGGCUGAUGAUAUCUGAUAGAAUUAUCUUCAAGCGAGCAUCAACCAUUUUUGAAAUAACCUUAUACACCACAUCGCAAAAGUUGAUUGGUAACAUGAUCUAGAUUUACUUGUUGAAACAAAGGGUUAGGAUUUUAAUUCAUUAGAAAUUUUCUUAAGGAUACCCCUAUGACCAUAUGAAUCAGGUUGUAGAAAUAGACAUCCUACUAGAUAACUCAAACCCGAGGAAUUUUGAAAUAAUUGUAACACGAGAUCGGUUGCAUGAACCUCAUCUCUCUUCAAAUUUCCGUGAAUUUCAAAGAGAUGAUCCAAAGAGCUGGUUUUGUAAUUUUCGAUGCAUUGUCACAGCGAAAUAAAUAUGUGGAGAUUAUAAAUUAUGCUGAGGAUUUCCGACAAAUAUGUGAAGUACAUCCUACGCAAUCCCAUUCUGAUUAAGGUUGUGUUUACCAUUAUUGAACCAAAGCCUAAGGAAAAGAGGCCACCCUAAUUAUUAUUACUUUUCCUGUUUCUAUGAUCGGAAAUCCUGUAAACUGAAUGAGCCCUUAGAAAUUGUUUGAAUCGAAGAGGCGUUAAGAUAUGUGAAUGGCAUGAUCUUCAGUCUAUAGCUACUAGAUGCAAAGCUAGCGAAAAAUUUCAUAUAUAUCUACAUACAAAGUGUCAAGACGUUUAGAUCGAGAGAAAAAAAAGACAUGCAACCUUUACACCAGUAGAAAAUACCAGAUUUCUAGACUUACAAAUAAGCACAUUGUGAUUGUGAUUCAGAGAUUGUGCCCUGCUGGUUCGAGGCUACCCAACACAUCAGGAAUGAAAGGCUGGAAGGCAUGCAUUGACAUACACCAACUAGGCUUGAUCUCCCUCUACCAUUCUCAGUUACAAGUCCUUACCCACCCUAACUCUAUUGUACCAUGAAUGUAUCUCCUACGUUUUGAGAUCAACAUCUACAGUACAACCUUUGUAAUCAGUACAACUUCCUUACAAAAACGACGAAAGUAACAACAACAACAACAAUAACCCUAAACCAUGGAACGUAUAUACAGAUGCUUGCAGUACAUAGCUACUACUUACUUUGCACAUGAAAUUCUACGAGUGUAUAUUCAGUCGUACGUACGUGGUGAGGGCGUCCUAUUUCACAGAGGUUUCUGCUCAAAACUAGCAAGAAAGAACGAGCUACGUAGGUGAAGUGUAUUUUAUUAGCGGAUUAUCGUUCGAGCGGCGGCGAGGACGGUGCAUGCACAGGCGUGCAUGCAUGCGGCUGCAUCCACGGACGAACGAUCGAGCGCUUGCUUUCAAAAACGGAAGCGCCCGUGCGCGCCGCCGUGGCCGUGGCCCGCGAGCACCAUCGGCGGCCGCGGCGGCAGCGGUGGCAGCGCGGUGCGCUUGACGAACCGGCCCUUCAUCCGCGGCCGCUUCUCGGCGUUGAGCUUGCGCACCUCGUACCGGAUCUUCUUGGCGAACAGCCGCGUCCGCCGCUUCUCCCGGUACCGCGACACCCGCGCCUCCCGCUCGCCGCCGGUCACCGCCGUCACCGCUGCGCCGAGCCCGAAUCCACGGCUCCCCGCCUGUCCAUGCCAAGCAACAGAUCGAGCUUGAUUAGACGACAAGUCUAGAUAUACAGAAAUGAAAUGAGUGUAUAGAUAGAUCACAUGGCAGGACUCAGGACUCGGGGCAGGUCCUUACCGGCAAGUCCAGCCAGGAAUCAUCACUGGGGUCGAUGUGGGGGCGCUCGCCGUAGAACCACGGCGAGCCGCCGUCAUGGGCCCAGGAGUCGAUAACCCUCUCGUAGUCGAGCUUAAGUAUCAUCCCCGAGUCCGACCGCUUCCUUUUCCUGUCCUCUAACUCUUGCUCCGGCGCAGGCGCCGCGGUGCUCUGAUCAUCGAAGUCCGCCAUGUCGAAGUCAAGGUUCAGCUGGGGCUUCUCUUCGUCCAAGAACCGCAGGUCGUCGAACCCCUCUUCUACUCCUCCCAUGAGCAGGCUCUCCAUGUCCGCGGCGAAGCUGGCGAGCUCCAUGUCCGGGACGACGUCGAACCCGGAGAACCCGUCGGCCGCCUCCGCCACGCCCGAGGCGUACUCCGACGACGGCUGAUUGGCAAGCGACGAGAAGCAGCAGACGGAAGGCUUCUGCUCGAGGGGCUCCCGGAACUCGUCGACCGGCACGGGGUUGUAGAGCUCGGCGAGCAUGGGGUCGAACACCGGGACGCGGUACAGGAGAUCCUCGUCGUCGACCUCCACGCCGUGGCCUUCGUCGUUGUCACCCACGAUGCCGGAGCCGGAGUCCUCCGCCUCGAGAUCGGGGACCGCCGAGGCAGCCGCGGCCUUCGCGGUGGCGGGCGCGCCGUGCUUGCCCACCAUCCCGGGCUUCGACCGCGGCGUGCGCGGCCGGCGCUUGAGCCCGUGCAGCCACGCGGGCUCGUCGGGGUCGGCGUGCUGAAGGGAGGAGGUGGCGGCCGGCGAGGACGAGGAGGGGAGGCGCACCCGGUGGUGGCGCCGCGCGAGCGGGUUGGCCGAGUGGACGGAGGCGUCGCACGCCUGGCACAGGUACGCGUCGUCCGCGGCGCAGUGCCACCGCGCCCGCCGCCGCAUGCAGCCGUCGCAGGCGCGGGCCGCGCGCGCACCGAUCGCCGCGCCGGCGCUCGCCAUCUCGUCGGACACGAGCGACCGAGCUAGCUAGGCACCCUCGCGCCUGCCCCGCUGACACUAGCUCAGUAGAGUUAAGCGAGCGCUGAACUCGGAGCAGUGUGGGGUGAGAGGUCGGAGCCCUUUUCCUCUAUUAAACCGCCAGCCCGGGCGGCGACCCCGGGCCCACGCUCCAGCGCCCGUGGGUUCGUGUGUGGGUGAUUUGGGUAAAAGGGCGGGCCGGUGGGCCUGGCAGGGCCUUUUCGACGACGUGGCCCGAUGGGAGUGGGCUGGAGGAGGGGCGGGACCCGGGGACGUGGUUAUCUCGAAGCUGAUUGGCUGGCGGGCGCGCGGAAUCCGGAGAGGCGGAAUUCUAUUGGGCGAGCUGUCACGCCGUUUGGAUUUCCGGCGGGCCCCGUGGGGGAUGGGCGACGACCAUGGGGCUGCAGCUUGUGAUGGCGGUGAUCGCUGGUGACUCAUCAUCAACCCGCGUAGAAUCAUGAUAUUUCUCUUUUUUGAAAUGAGCCCUUUUUUUAGAAUCUUUUCGAACAAGUUCAAACUUGUUUGGGCGCCAAGGCAUAGUUAGCUUGACUCGACAAGUUGAAACAUAAGACUCUUUGAGAAGUGCACAAGAGCACGAGAUUGCAGAAGGUGCAGUUUUGGACAUAAUCCUAAGAAAGCAACUUCAUAUUUGAAAUUGUGCUAUGAUGCUCUAGGUCAAUAGAUAAAAAGGCAAAAAGUGCCUCCAUUCCUAUAAAAUGAAUGCCGCACAUAGGUAAAAAUCCCGCAGGAAGAAAUCCUAUAGGAAUAUUGCAAAAAUCCAACAAACCGCGUGAGCCCUUUAAUGCAAGAGAAACACAAUCUUGGAACAAUCAGGCAUUUGGAGUUUCACACUUACAACCAAGCCAAAAUUAUCACCUACACACAAAUUAGCUAGCAAAUCAUCCUUCACACAGAAUUAAUAUAUAAUGGUUCGUAUUAAUGGCCACAUGCAUGAUUCAUGCAGAGACAAGGGGUUUAUCCUCUCUUUUUUCAAAAAGUAUAAUGGUGGUUUAAAUGAAGGAUUUAAGGUAGAUAAUCAUCCGACUUUACUUCCGACAAAAGACGCGCGAAAAUGUGUGUUGCACAAUUAAUAAAAAAAUAUGUGUUCCGCAAUUAAUCACACAAACCACAAUUUGUGGAACNNNNNNNNNNNNNNNNNNNNNNNNNNNNNNNNNNNNNNNNNNNNNNNNNNNNNNNNNNNNNNNNNNNNNNNNNNNNNNNNNNNNNNNNNNNNNNNNNNNNNNNNNNNNNNNNNNNNNNNNNNNNNNNNNNNNNNNNNNNNNNNNNNNNNNNNNNNNNNNNNNNNNNNNNNNNNNNNNNNNNNNNNNNNNNNNNNNNNNNNNNNNNNNNNNNNNNNCAGAAUGAUUACAUUUGAUUUUGACAUUUCUUUUCUGUAGUUGUGUUGUAGAUGUGCAUAGGGGUACUAGUAACAUGAAUGAAAAAAAUAACAGGGUCCCAAUUGUUUUUUUAAAUAACAUGGACCCGAUUGCUUUUUAAAAACUUACAUGCACCUAAUUUCUUUUAAAUAAACUUACAAGGACCUGAUUGUUUUUUUUGUAGGGACCAACAUCUGGGCUCCACCUAUCAUAAUGGUCAAAGCUAAUGGUGUUGACUUUUAUGCCAUGUCACACUUGACGAGUGACCCAAUCUGUCACAAUUGUAAUUAAAAUAACUAAUGCAGUCAUUAGUGUAACAUGGUACUUUUUCCAAAUCAAAACCCAAUUUUGUGGUAGCUUUCAGAGAAUUUUUAAAAAGUGGUAGUUUUCCAUAACCCUAGCCCCAAAUGUGGUAGUUGAUACGUCUCUAUCGUAUCUACUUUUCCAAACUAUUUUGUCUUUGUUUUGGACUCUAAUUUGCAUGAUUUGAAUGGAUCUAACCCGGACUAACGCUGAUUUCAGUGAAUUGCCAUGGUGUUAUUUUUGUGCAGUAAUAAAAGUUCUCGGAAUGACCUGAAAAUCUAUGGAGAAUAUUUUUGGAAUAUAUAAAAAAUAUUGGCGAAAGAAUCAACAAAAGGGGACCCACCGUCUGUCCACAAGGGUGGAGGGCCCGCCCCCUGUCUUGUGGGUCCCACGAAGCUCCACCGACCUCAACUCCAACUCCAUAUAUUCACAUUCGAGGAGAAAAAAAAUCAGAGAGAAGGAUUCAUCGCGUUUUACGACAUGGAGCCGCUGCCACCUCCUGUUCUUGCUCGGGAGGGUAGAUCUGGAGUCCGUUUUGGGCUCCGGAGAUGAGAUUUUGUCGCCAUCAUCAUCAUCAACCAGCCUCCAUCACCAAUUUCAUGAUGCUCACCGCCGUGUGUGAGUAAUCCUAUCGUAGGCUUGCUGGACGGUGAUGGGUUGGAUGAGAUCUACCAUGUAAUCGAGUUAGUUUUGUUAGGGUUUGAUCCCUAGUAUCCACUAUGUUCUAAGAUUAAUGUUGCUAUGACUUUGCUAUGCUUAAUGCUUGUCACUAGGGCCCGAGUGCCAUGAUUUCAGAUCUGAACCUAUUAUGUUUUCAUGAAUAUAUUUGUGUUCUUGAUCCUAUCUUGCAAGUUAUAGUCACCUACUACGUGUUAUGAUCCGGCAACCUCGGAGUGACAAUAGUCGGGACACUUCCCGGUGAUGACCGUAGUUUGAGGAGUUCAUCUAUGCACUAAGUGCUAAUGCUUUGAUGCGGUUCUCUAUUAAAAGGAGGCUGAGGGAGUCCUGGAUUAGGGGGUACCCGGACAACCGUAUUAUAUCCUUUGGCCGGACUGUUGGACUAUGAAGAUACAAGAUUGAAGACUUCGUCCCGUGUCCGGAUGGGACUCUACUUGGCGUGGAAGGCAAGCUAGGCAAUACGGAUAUGUAUAUCUCCUCCUUUGUAACCGACCUUGUGUAACCCUAGCCCCCUUCGGUGUCUAUAUAAACUAGAGGGUUUUAGUCCGUAGGACAACAUACAAUCAUACCAUAGGCUAGCUUCUAGGGUUUAGCCUCUCCGAUCUCAUGGUAGAUCAACUCUUGUACUACUCAUAUUACCAAGAAUAAUCAAGCAGGAUGUAGGGUUUUACCUCCAUCAAGAGGGCCCGAACCUGGGUAAAACAUCGUGUCCCCUGCCUCCUGUUACCAUCCGCCUUAGACGCACAGUUCGGGACCCCCUACCCGAGAUCCACCGGUUUUGACACCGACAUUGGUGCUUUCAUUGAGAGUUCCUCUGUGUUGUCAUCAUUAGGCUUGACGGCUCCUUCAAUCAUCGAUAGCGAUGCAGCCCAGGGUGAGACUUUUCUCCUCGGACAGAUCUUUGUAUUCGGCGGCUUCGCACUGUGGGCCAACUCGCUUGGCCAUCUGGAGCAGAUCGAGAGUUAGGCCCCUGGCCACCAGGUCAGGUUUGGAAGCUUAAACUACACGGCCGAUAUCCGCGGAGACUUGAUCAAUGACGGAUUCGAGCCCCUGCCUAGUGUGCCACACCAUCACGAUGAGCGUGAUUUAGCUCUACCAUCGGAUAGUGUUCAGGAGAUCGCACCGGCAACCGCUCCGACCCUCAAUUCAGAACCAGUUGCGCCAUCCAUGGACGGGUGGAUAGACCCCGCCAUGGAGGCCGUAUCCUCAGUGGCGAUCGAGCUGAAUAUCGACCUUACCCUUCAUGGGAGCCGUGACGCCAAACUACCGGAUUCUUCCCCGGCCACGGACUCCGAACCGCCUGCGCCCGUGCCUAUCGAAUCCGACUGGGCGUGGAUCAUGGAGUUCACCUCCGCGGAUAUCUUUCAGCACUCGCCCUUCGGCGACAUACUGAAAUCAUUAAGGUCUCUCUCCCUGUCAGGAGAGUCCGGGCCGAACUAUGUUCGGUAGGAUUGGGAUGCGGAUGACGAAGAAAUUCGCUGCCCACCCACCACCCACUUAGUAGCCACUAUCGGCGAUUUGACCGACAUGCUCGACUUUGACUCCGAAGACAUUGACAGUAUGGACGACGAUGCAGGAGACGAACAGGAACCACUGCCCACAGGGCACUAGACGCCCACUUCAUCAUAUGAUGUAUACAUGGUGGACACACCCAAAGAAAACGACGACGAGGAACAGAAGGACACAGCGAAGGGUUGUUCCCUCGAGAAGCAGUCAAAGCGGCGGCGUAAGCGCCACUCCAAAUCCCGCCUCGGCAGAAAUAGCGAUCAUAUAGACCCAGCGAUAGAGCAGGGUGAACCAUCACCCGACCAGGGCAACACGGAGAAUCAAACCGAACAACUCGACCCCGUCGAAGAUAAUAGUCCGGACGACAUCACACCGGACAGGCACCCGGAGCAACAGAAUGCCCAUCAAAGGCUGGUUGCCACUGCGAGGAGUCUGAAAAAGCAGAAGCAAAGACUUAGGGCUGCACAAGACACACUCAAAAUCAGAUGGAGUGAAGUACUCAACACUGCAGCGAAGCACGGCAGUAAUCGCCACACCAAGAGCUACCCGAAGCGAAAGUUGCUACCUGAAUUCGAUGAGGAGGCCUUAGAUCCCCCGCAACCAAAAAUUAAAACGGCCAUCCGGUCGGAUGGACGACCUCGUGGCCAACAUAGAGCGGCAAACGACGCCGCACAUAAGCCAGUAUGCGAUCCACACGAGGGAUCGCAUCAAAAGGACGGCGCAACCAGAUCCAUAUACGGGCCACGCAAGCGCGCUCCAGCAUGCAAUGCAACACAACAAACAUCCGAACACCAUGGUACACCCAAAUAGAGGGGUGUCGCACACCCCCUAUGUUUCACCGAUGAGGUGCUGGACCAUGAAUUUCCAGAGAGAUUCAAACCUGUAAACAUAGAGGCGUACGACGGAACAACAGACCCUGGGGUCUGGAUUGAGGACUACAUCCUCCAUAUCCAUAUGGCUCGGGGAGACGAUCUCCACGCCAUCAAGUACUUACCCCUCAAGCUCAAAGGGCCAACUCGGCACUGGCUUAAAAGCCUCCCCGAAAACUCCAUUGGAAGCUGGGAAGAGCUCGAAGACGCCUUUCGGCCCGAGAGUCAGCCCGAAAGCUUUGGAACAGGUUCCUCACUAAAAAGAACCAAAUAGUCGACUGUCCGAAUGCCGAAGCCUUAGCAGCUUUCAAGCACAGCGUUUGAGAUGAAUGGCUUGCCAGACACCUCGGCCAAGAAAAGCCGAGAACAAUGGCAGCAUUAACAAGCCUCAUGACCCGCUUUUGCGCGGGUGAGGACAGCUGGUUAGCCCGAUGCAGCACCAGCGACCCAAGUGCAUCUGAAGUCAGGGACGGAAACGGGAGAUCACGAUGCAGCAAAAACAAGCGCCGGAAUAAAGAAGACGCCCCGAAGAGCACGGCAGUAAACGCCGGAUUCAAAAGCUCUCGGCCAGGUCAGCAAAAGCUGCCCUCCAAAGGUAACAGAGACGAACUAUCCAGCCUAAACAAGAUUUUGGACCAAAUAUGUCAGAUCCAUAGCACCCCCGAUAACCCUGCAAAUCAUACCCAUAGAGAAUGUUGGGUCUUCAAGCAGUCCGGCAAGCUCAACGCCGAACACAAGGGGCAGGAUACACCAAGCGAAGACGAGGACGAGCCUCGCAAGCAAAGCACUGGGGAACAAAAGAAAUUCCCACCAGAAGUCAAAAUAGUCAACGUGUUACACGUGAUAAAGGGGAGAAACAAAGCGGCACCCCUAGAGAAACAUGCCCCAGGGCUUAUCACCGCAGAGUUCUGCCACUGGUCGUCCCAACCGAUCACCUUCGACCAUCGGGAUUACUCGGCAAGUAUCCGGCGUGCAGGAUGGGCUGCCUUGGUAUUAGAUCCAAUAAUUGACGGAUACCACUUCACAGGAGUCUUGAUGGAUGGCGGCAGCAGUUUAAACCUGAUAUAUCAGGACACAGUUCGCAAAAUGGGGAUAGACCCAACAAAAAUUAGCCGCAGCAAUACUACCUUUAAAGGAGUAAUGCCAGGCCCAGAGGCCCAUUGCACGGGCUCCCUGCUACUAGAGGUUAUAUUCGGCUUCCCCGAUAACUUCCGCAUCGAAAAUUUAACCUUCCACAUCGCUCCGUUCCAAGGUGGCUAUCAAGCACUACUCGGACACGAAGCUUUCGCUCGCUUUAAUGCAAUACCGCAUUACGCUUCCCACAUGCUUAAGAUGCCCGGUCCACAGGGCAUCAUUACAGUAAAUGGAAAUAUUGAACGCUCCUUGCGCGCGGAAGACCGUGUGGCUACCUUGGCAGCCGCACACUAAACGGCCUCACAAACUAAAGCAUCUGACAGGUCGUUAAGACCACGGACACGGUUGGACGAGUCCGGUAUAGCUAUAUGUAAUUGAUACAGGUUUGAUGGCUAUACCCCUACAAGGGGCUCAACGCGCGCGCACAAGUGGCAAUUAGGCUCAACUUUACUCAUUUUGAACUAUAUAUUGUUUAUUUAGUAUAACUUACCUUUUGUACGGCAACUUUUCAAUUAAGUUCCUCUCUUUUUCAGAUGACCAUCGUGCUACACCCAUCCAGAAUACGACACAACAGAGACACAGGCGCAGACGUGCAGCAAGGACCCGUUCCAAGGAUUCUUUUUAGAUUAAGACCCUACAUAAACCUUUUUUACUGUCUCUUGUUGAUACACAUCCCUCGAAUUCUCAGUACAAUUGAGAAGGAUGCUGACGUAUUGGCAUGUGGCCACGUCAGAAUAUUGCACAUACCUGGACACCAGGGGCUGAUUACAAAGGGCACUGUUUAGGCCCGGUUUACAUCAUAAAGACCGAAUACCUUAGGGAGUGUUCGGCGUCGCGAGUUUGGCCUUAUAUGCAUCAGCUCCGAAUCAUGUCUUUGGUCAAAUGUUGGGUUUGCCCGACUCCUGUGUUUUGCUGCCUUACGUUCCGCUCUAUCGGCUAAGGCGGCACCAGGAGAACUACUGCGAUUGUGCCCUGGUUCAUCCGGACGAGCACCUCAGUAGAGAAAGGCGAAAACUGACUGUCAUGAUAUAGCAUGAGACUGGUCAACCACUCUAUGACCUAGCGGAAUCUUCGGGAUUCCUCCACUUUAACGAAGGGCCGUUUCCCGGCCAGGCAUGUACGCACCCCGAAUUUGGAUGAGUGCGGAGCCACCAGGGGCUAUAUAGUAGCCCCACUGUCAAACUCCUCUGGCUAAGUGAAAGUGUUAAAGCAUUAUAGUCCGGUUGCCUAGUUCGCUGCGCUAUCCCCUCCUUAAUGGACCAAGACGUCGGAUCAAGUGUGAACAUGCGUCUUCUGCGAACACCCCUGCAUUAUAUGCAUGGGGGCUGAAGCCGACGACUGCAAUCUUUCAGGUUAUAUACAUAUAUACAUAAACGGCCGCACAGGAGGCAUCAUAUCACUUUUGGGCGAAAGUAUAAAUACAGCCUUGAUAAAUUCAAUAAAACAUUGUUUUUACAAUGGGAAUACAUGUCACUCAAAUAUAAUAUUCUUCGAGAACUGAGCUUCUAUUGAACGAGAGCCUUCAAGAACUUCUUCCAAGUAGUGCUCGACAGCCACUCGGCCUAUGGCCGAACCCUGUGCCGCAACAGUGGUGGCAUCCAUCUCCGCCCAGUAUGUUUCGACACGGGCAAGGGCCAUCCGCGAGCCUUCUAUGCACGCCAACCUCUUCAUAGCAUCGAUGCGUGGCACAACGCCAAGGAAUUGUUGCACUAAGCUACAGUAGCUAUUCGGCCUUGGCCUUCCUGGCCACAAAUGAUCCACAACGGACCUCAUGGCCAGUCCGGAUAAUCUAUGGAGCUCGGCCCAACCGGUCAAUCGCUCAUUCAGCAGCAGCGGACGAACUGGAGCGUGAAACUGUGACCAGAACAACUUCUCCACUUCGGGACCUUUCUGAUCCUUGAAGUACUCGGCGGCAUCAGCAGCGCUGGCAACCAAAUCCAUGUACGCGUCCGCAGAACUCCAUAGCCGGUCCAGAGGAGCAUACUUCGGAUCUCCGAACUUCGUCCGCAACAAGAAAGGCUUCCCAGACACGAUAUCUGCAGCCUGAUUCAGCUCCUCCUUCGUCGCUCUAAUUUUGGAGCGGGCUUGCUUGGCAGCCACCCGGGCCUUCUCCAGGUCCGUCGCUUUCGCCCGGUUUCCUCUUCAAGAAGCCGGUAACUGUCAGCAGCAUCUUUUAACUCCACGGUCAUCUUGGCAAUUUUUCCUUGCUCUCGCAAUGUGCGGCCUGUUCGGCCCUUAACUCUUCGACCGCGUGUAAAGCGGCCGCAUUGCUACUCCUGGCUUGCUCCUUGGCUCGGGCAAGCUCCGCCCGAAGGGUCUCCACGGUGGCCGCUCCAUCUGUAGUCACAAACAUAUUAUACUGGCAUCAGGCCGCUCUUAUUAUGUGACAAUCGCCAGAAAAAUCACUAAGCCCGCGCCUCGUCAAGCCGCUUGUUGACGAGCAUGAUAUCAGCAUCUGCUGCAUCCAGCUGCCGCUUUAGUUCGGCAUACCCAUCAGUCCGGCUAGCCACCGGAGCCUCCACCACUUGCACAUAAAGGCAGUCUGGUUAUUACCUGGGACUAUGAUCCUCUGUUUGCCGCCAUUUUCGACGACAACCAGAGUCUUAGGGGCUACUAUCUACACAGGGCACGUCUAAAAAUGUGCGGUACUUUCAAAAAUGUACAUCAUUUCACGUACCUCAAAACCCGUUAGUAGACUCAUAAAGGCUUUAUGCAGCCUGCUUUCGGCGGACGAAAUCCUUUCAAUCACCGUACCCAUCAAUGUGUGGUGCUCUUCUGAGAUAGCCGCUUUCUCUAGCAGAUCCCUCCGUACAUCCGACCGCACACCAGACGGUGCCGGACUCUUUUGGUUGCUCUCUUCGAGAGCCGGAUACUGAGGACUUCGGGUGGCCAUAGGACUACCUUCUGGCCUUGCCGGAUCAGGAGAAGCCCUCGGCGACGACACCUCAGGGUCGCCCACUUCGUAAGGCGGUGUGGCAGGGGGAGGCGUUUCGCUCUUCAUCAUCUCCGAAAGAAGAUCCCUCGAAGACGAGCUCAGCUGAGAAGGGCUAAGAUCCGAACUGCAAGAUAAAUGCUUCGGUUAUUUUCCUCAGAAAUAGAGCAAGAUAUUUUCGUUAUUGAAUACUCUUGUACUUACAGCUCGGUAGAGGGCUGAUCCCCGCGUGGACAUUGUGUGGCAAGAGUACCCUCUGAGGCAGGUCCCUCUGGUGGAGAUUUCUUCUCCUGUUUGGAAACCUUAGUUUCCGGAUCUUUAGAGGUAGACCUCUUCCCUCCCCGGGGAGAGAGAAUGUCAGAUUCUUCCCCUUGGUUAUCCUCCCUCGCGGAGGCGCUCAUUCCCUUGGUUGGAAUAGGUAGCGAUGGAGGCCCGCUUUCGCCCUCUUUAUUCCCCCCUUCAUCUUCCUUUGAGGGCACCAGGCAAGGUGCUGGCUCGAGCAUCUUUUCCAGCACCGGAUUGUCCAAGCCUUCAGGAAGGGGGCCGAACACCGGAUCAUCUUCGCCUUUGUUAUCCAGUCCUGGUCAAAGAGCGAUUCUUCAGAAUGAUGUCAUGAUAAAUAAAAGGAUAGUGUGUUCGGCUAUGGGAUUACUUACUUGGGCAGCGGUGCGGUUGCUGCUCAGGCCCACGUCCUCGGUAGUGUCCGGACACUCUAUUUGGGGUCCGAAGAACGAUUUGUACAUCUCCUUGUGCGUCAUGCCGAGGAAAUUCUGAAUAGUGGGCGGUCCUUUCGGGUUGAAUUCCCACAUGCAGAGGGGCCGGCGUUUGCAAGGCUGGAUCCGACGGACCAGCAUAACUUGCAUUACCAUAACCAGACUGAAAUCUCCCUCGAAGAGAUCUUGGAUACGGCUCUGCAGUAUUGGCAUGUCCUUGGCUGGACCCCAGCUCAGCCCCCUGCUGAUCCAUGACAUCAGUUGUGGUGGAGGGCCCGAGCGAAAGGUGGGGGCAGCUACCCACUUGGCACUUCGGGGAGCUGUGACAUAAAACCACUCCCGUUGCCACAAUCCGGACACCUCUAGAAAGGAACCCUUUGGCCAUGGAGCAUCAGCAAUUUUGCUUAUUAGAGCACCUCCGCACGCUGCGUACUGCCCCUCGACCAUCUUUGGCUUCACAUCGAAGGUCUUGAGCCACAGGCCGAAGUGAGGGGUAAUGCGGAGGAAGGCCUCACACACGACAAUAAAUGACGAGAUGUGAAGAACGGAAUCCGGGGCCAGAUUGUGAAAAUCCAGCCCGUAAUAGAACAUAAGACCCCUAACAAAGGGAUCUAGAGCGAGGCCUAGUCCUCGAAGGAAGUGGGAGACAAACACAACACUCUCGUUGGGUUCGGGAGUAGGGACGACCUGCCCUCGGGCGGGCAGCCUAUGCGAAAUUUCAGCGGUUAGAUAUCUGGCCUCCCUCAACUUUUUGAUAUCCUCCUCCGUGAUAGAGGAAGGCAUCCAACGACCUUGAAGGCUGGAUCCGAACAUGAUUGAAGGUCCAAAGCACCUGACCUGGGCUUUGGGUGUUAGAACUCGAGGCGGGGGAAGGAUUCGAUUGAGCACGGGAGGGAAAAAAGUAAAAGCCUUGUCCCUUUAUAAAGAGGGUGAAUAUCAAGCGUCCUCCUCGUGGCCGUUUGGGACUUGCCUAAGAUCUAGGAGUCCUAGGAACGGUUGAGUUACCCACGUCUGUAUUAAUGAGAAUCCCGUAAUAAAGGGAACACGAUCUCUGCUUUGACAAGACGUGUCAAGAAACCGCCUCGCGUCAUGUGCGGGGCUGGUUAAAGAAAAACGGUUCGAAUAAUUACCAGGCCAUGGCGUGAUGUCAUGCUGCCAAAACGUGUCAGCAGAUUAGAUUUGUGGAAAUAUUAUUCUCUCUACGGUGGUAUGUGGAACUUAUUUUGCAGGGUCGGAAACUAUCCUUGUAUUCAAACUCUUCUGUGGUGUAUUCGGAGGAGGAACCCGGCUUGCAAUGCCGAAGACAACACUGCGCGCCAGACUCAUCGUCAUUGAAGCCUGGUUCAGGGGCUACUGAGGGAGUCCUGGAUUAGGGGGUAUCCGGACAGCCGGAUUAUUUCCUUUGGCCAGACUGUUGGACUAUGAAGAUACAAGAUUCAAGAUUUUGUCCCGUGUCCGGAUGGGACUCUACUUGAUGUGGAAGGCAAGCUAGGCAAUACGGAUAUGUAUAUCUCCUCCUUUGUAACCUACCUUAUGUAACCCUAGCCCCCUUCGUUGUCUAUAUAAACCGGACGGUUUUAGCCCGUAGGACAACAUACAAUCAUACCAUAGGCUAGCUUCUAGGGUUUAGCCUCUCCGAUCUCAUGGUAGAUCAACUCUUGUACUACUCAUAUUAUCAAGAAUAAUCAAGCAAGACGUAGGGUUUUACCUCCACCAAGAGGGCCCAAACCUGGGUAAAACAUCGUGUCCCCUGCCUCCUGUUACCAUCCGCCUUAGACGCAUAGUUCGGGACCCCCUACCCGAGAUCCGCCGAUUUUGACAUCGACAGAGGCCUUAAUAUCCCUUAGUUUCCAAUAGGACCCCGCUGCCAUGGGAGGGUAGGACAAAAGAUGUUAUGCAAGUUCUUUUCCAUUAGCACGUAUGACUAUAUUCGGAAUACAUGCCUACAUUAUAUUGAUGAAUUAGAGCUAGUUCUGCGUCACCAUAUGUUAUAGCUGUUGCAUGAUGAAUGCCAUUCGACAUAAUUAUCCAUCAUUGAUCCAUUGCCUACGAGCUUUCAUAUUGAUCUUUGCUAAGUUACUCUUUCGUUGCCACUGUUACAAUUGCUACAAAACUGCUACUAUUACUUUUGCCACCAUUACCGUUACUUCCAUACCACUUUGCUACUAAAUACUUUGCUGCAGAUAUUUAAGUCUUUCGGGUGUGGUUGAAUUGACAACUCAGCUGCUAAUACUUGAGAAUAUUCUUUGGCUCCCCUUGUGUCGAAUCAAUAAAUUUGGAUUGAAUACUCUACCCUCAAAAACUGUUGUGAUCCCCUACACUUGUGGGUUAUCAAGACCUUUUUCUGGCGCCGUUGCCGGGGAGCAUAGCUCUAUUCUCUGAGUCACUUGGGAUUUAUAUCUGUUGAUCACUAUGAGGAUUCUGAAAGACAACAAAACCAAGAUCUAUCCCUCUACUAUGAGGGGAGGUAAGAACUGCCAUCUAGCUCCGCACUUGAUUCACCUUUUGUUUUAAGUAAACUUGCGACACCUACACCUGCUAUUGAUUCCGAUAUGUCGCAUAUUAUUGAUGAUGCCACUUCUGCUAUGAAUGAUGCUUAUGAUGAUACUACUUCUUUGUUUAAUAAUACUAUGCCACUAGGUGAGUUUCUUGAUGAACAACUUGCUAGGGUUAGAGAGAAUGAAAUUACUGAAACUGAUGACAUUAUUGAAACUGAAGAUUAUGAUUCUCCCCCUAGAUAUGAAUUGCAUGUUGUACCUGAGGGUUAUAUUAUGGAUGAAGAAACUGCUAGAGAUUUCUUUGCUUGCAAUGAUAGAGAUGAUCUUAAGAAACUAUUAGCUAAGCUUAAAGAAAAGUCUUUGAAUGCUAGAAUGCAAUAUGAUCCUAAGUUUGCUACUUCACCUAUCUUUGUUACUAACAAGGAUUAUGAAUUCUCUGUUGAUCCUGAGUUAAUUACUUUGGUUGAAUCCGAUCCUUUCUAUGGCUAUGAAUCUGAAACUAUUGUGGCACAUCUUACUAAAUUGAAUGAUAUAGCCACCCUAUUUGCUCAUGAGGAAAAAAUUCGCUAUUACUAUAUUCUUAACUUGUUUCCUUUCUCGUUAAAGGGUGAUGCUAAGUUAUGGUUUAAUUCUCUUGCUCCUGGUUGUGUGCGUAGUCCCCAUGAUAUGAUUUACUACUUCUCUGAAAAAUAUUUCCCUGCUCAUAAGAAAAAAACCGCAAGGAAAUAUUUAACUUUGUGCAAUUUGAAGAAGAGAGUUUCCCACAAGCUUGGGGGAGGCUUCUCCAAUUACUUAAUGCUUUGCCUGAUCAUCCUCUCAAGAAAAUUGAAAUACUUGGUAUCUUUUAUAAUGGACUAACCGAUGCUUCCAGAGACCACCUGGAUAGUUGUGCUGGUUGUGUUUUCAGGGAACGAACUGUUGAUUAAGUUGAAUUGCUAUUGAAUAUUAUAUUGAGUAAUGAUAAUGAUUGGACUCUUCCUGAACCAACUCCUAAGCCAACUCUGAAGAAAAGAGGUAUUCUAUUUCUCAGUGUAAGUGCAUCUAGUGCCACCCCUAGUUGGUUUUGGAGUAUUGACGACAAACCUAGUUGAGGGACUAAUGUGUUUGUGAGAAUUGCAGGAUAACACAGGUAGAAGUCCCUCAUUGAUUCGGUUUUCCUACCAGAGAUGACCCCUAAAAAUGUAUGAAGACAUUGAAGUCAAAGGUGGUAUGUGAAGACAUUCACAUUGAAGACUAUGACAAGAGAAGACAUCGCAUGAAGACUAUGGAGCGCGAAGACUUAGUUCUUUCAUCGUUCUUUUUAUUCUUUGUUGAGUCAUAGGAACCACCGUACUAUUAAGUGGGGUCCAAGAGAACCAGUCAGAAUGACUGAAGUGAUGCUUAACGAAAAUCCUAUGUCUUCAAGUGAAGACUAUGAGAGCAAAUCUUGUCCAGAGUUGGAUAAGUCAGCUUUGCUUGUAGCCCAAGUAAAGUUGCCGUGUGUGUGUUUGAAAUCUGACCGUUGGAACACGUGUCAGUUCCUUAGUGACCCAGGGUCAUUUCGGACAAAUCAGGUCAGGUUGCCUAGUGGCUAUAAAUAGCCCACCCCCUACAACCAUAAAUGGUUGGUUGCUCAGAGUUAGAGUACGGCUUUUGUCGUUUGAGAGCAACCCACCUCGAAGCCUUUGAGAGAGAAUUCCUUGCAAGGAUAAAGCCCUAAACACACAGAGCCAAAGAGUGUUAGGCAUCACUUAAGUCUUCCUGUCUGUGUGAUCUGAAGACUUAUUACACUUGAGGACUGUGAAUCCUCCAGCCGGUUAGGCGUCGCGUUCUGAGCAUCCAAGAGUCAUUGUGGAUCACCGGUGAACGAAGUCUGUGAAGGUUUGGAAGUCUACCUUGAAGACUUACCAGAGUGAUUGGGCGAGGACUGGGUGUCCUUAGCUCAAGGGGAAUAAGGUGAGGACGAGGUCUUCUGAGUUGAAUCUCAGCCUCCCUAACCAGACGUACAGUUGUCACAGCAACUGGAACUGGUCCAACAAAUCAUUGUCUUCAACGAGUCACUGGUUUCAUCCUUCCCUUCCCUUUACUUACGGUUGGUCCUUGUGAAGUCAUUGUAUGAUUGCAUUAUCUUUUGUCUUCACUAAGUGACUGCUUGUUCUGAUUGGCUUCACAAUAUCUUCCUACCUGUUCUUUACUGUCUAGCUGCUAUUAGUCAUUGUGCUUUCACUUCAUUGAAUACUUGACUAUGGUUUGCCUAGUGUAGUCUACCUUCCGCUGCAUGGUAAUAGGUUUAUUUCUAUCGUUUGUCUUCGAAACUUCCAUGUUUUGAAGACUUUCAUAAAAAUCGCCUAUUCACCCCCCCUCUAGUCGAUCACUAGCACUUUCAAUUGGUAUCAGAGCAAGGUACUCCCUUGUUCUGUGUGAUUCGGUUUAAUCACCUAGAGUUUUAGCUAUGUCGACUACAGGGAUAAUUAAAGUCUCCGCUGCAUGCCCCGUCUUCGACGGAACUGAAUAUCCCUACUGGAAGAAUAAGAUGCGCAUGCAUCUUGAAGCCAUUGAUGUCGACCUAUGGUAUGUCGUCAAGAAUGGCGUUCCCAAGGCUGGUGAAGGUGUCACCGCUGCUGAUGUCAAGAAGUUCGUUCAACUGGACUCCACUGCCAAGAACAUCAUCUGUGGUCAUCUGACCAAAGGACAGUAUGGCCACGUGAGUGCUUUGGAAACAUCUAAGCUAGUCUGGGACUGGCUCUCCAAGGUCAGUGAAGGCGUCUCAACCCAGAGAGAUCAGAGAAUCAGUGUCCUUCGCAACCUCUUCAACCGCUUCAAGAGAAAUGACAAUGAGAAUGUCCAGCUCACGUUUGAUUGACUCACUGACAUCACAAAUGAGCUUCAAGCUCUCGGCGCCACUGAGAUCACCAAGCAUGAAGUCGUCAAGACACUCCUGAGAUCACUUGACAGCUCGUUUGACACCCUAGCCCUGAUGAUUCAAGAACGUCCUGACUUCAAGACACUCGAUUCGUCUGACAUACUUGAGAGGCUCAACACACACGAGUUUCAGCUUUCUGAGAAAAGAGACAUCUACGGUCCCAACUAUGGGCGAACUCGUGCCUUGAAGGAAAAAGCUGUCUCCUCAUCUGAAGAAGAAUCUGACAGCAGUUCUGAUGAUCCUGAAGACAUUGGAAAGGAGCUUGCUAUGCUUGUGGAGAAGUUCCAAAAAUUCACCAAGAAGAAAGGCUUCAGAAAGUCUUCGCGAUCAAGCUCAAGGAAUGAUGAAGCUUCUGCUCAUGACUACAAGAAGAGAACAUGCCACAAGUGCAAGAAACCUGGUCACUACAUCUCUGAGUGUCCACAGUGGGACAAUGAGAAUAACAAGAAGAAGAAGAGCGAGGAGUAUGACUCUGACGACAAGAAGAAGAAGAAAUACUCAAAGUCUUCUUCCAAGUCUUCCUCAAAGUCUUCAUCACACAAGAAGAGCUCAUCUGUCAAGGCACGUGCGUUUGUUGGCAAGGAAAUGGAUUCAGAGGAGGAGUCCGCUUCUGAGGAGGCAGAGGUGGAGUCUGAGGAGGAGUCCGAUUCUGGCAUUGCGAGUCUAGCUACAGCAUACAUUGCCAAGUCCAUCUUCAACACUGAAGACAAUGACUUCAUCACCGACACUGAUGCAAAUGACAAGGACUACUCCGCUCCUACCUACUGCUUCAUGGCACGCGGUGCCAAGGUAAACAAACGCACUACUCACUAUCAAACAUCUAGUGAAGAUGACUCUGAUUGUGGUUCCAAACCCAGCUACAAAACACUUGCUAAAAUUGCAACUGAACAACAGAAAGCUAUGGAACAUAUUCAAAAACUGUUAGACAAAAGCGAUGAUCUGUUAGACGCUGAAAUGACUUGAUCUCAGUCCUUAAUUGAAGACAUAAAAAAUCUUCAUGUUAAGUAUGAGGAACUUGAAAGUCAUCAUGAAACGCUCUCAACAACUCAUGAAAAGCUUUCCUAUGAUUAUCUUCAAAGGAAGCAAGAUCUUGAGAAAUUGAGAGCGGCUCAUGAAGAUCUUCAAAAGGAAAACGAGUCACUUCGCGCUGAACAGAUCAGUCCCGCUCAGGAAGGAUUUGAACCACCAUGUCUUAAAUGCCUUGAGCGUGAUAACGUUACUUCUGUUGCUGAAUG